CGAAGAUAACUCUGAGACCAUACGUCUUUAAUUCUAGAGCAAUCGAUCAGACAAUGAGUGACUGUUUCCGUUGCUUCAUGACAGCAAGGGCAUAUUGGUGAUAUAGAUGGGAUGCGGUGAUGAAUCUGAGCAAGCACCGGAAGUCGGCCAUGGAGAGUUUUUCAGAUAAAUAGCUUAAUUUUGUGAGGCAAGUUCAACUUCCAUAGAUCAAUCUACGGCUUUUUCUGCUGCAUAUAAUUAGGGCAAAGCUCCAGAGGCGGAUGGUAAAAUAAAUAGCCAAUUCUAUAACCUGAAGCUGUAUCAUAUUGCUUAGAUUUGUUCAAAUCUCAUUGCAAUUUGUCCCUACUCUGCUGAAUUUUAACUGACAAAAUCCUGUUUGCAACGUCUUGGGGAAAUAAUUCUUGAAUGAGAUUCUGAUUCCAAUUUCUAUCUUCAGUAAUUAGAUCUUUAACUCUUGGAACCAACUCAGAAAUAGCCUGUCUAUUUGGCAUGUCAGAAAUCAUUAAAGGAUACGGAGGAGGCAGCCAAGGAUCCUCAAAGGUUCGGAUAUUCUCACCAGUACCCACAACUCAAUUAAGACCUUUUUCAACAAUCUUUCGGCCUUCCAGUAUGCUCCUCCAUCCCCAAGAAGGUAAGACUCCAAUUUCUGCCGUUAUAGCAUUACCAUUGCUAAAGUAUUUACCUCUUAAGAUUUUGGAUAAUAAGGAAGUAGGCUGUGUUACAAGUUGCCAAAACUGUUUGCCUAAAAGUGCCAGAUUUUGGAUUCUGAGAUCUUUAAAUCCAAGGCCUCCUUCUUUUCGUGGGCGAGUCAUAGUGUCCCAGCUAAUCCAAGCCAUCCUCCUUUCAGAACCUUUUUGUCCCCACCAUAACUGAGAAAGUAGAGAGUGAAUUUCCGAAAUUAAACCAUCAGGCAACUUAAAGCAAGACAAUAUAUAAAUAGGAAUAGCUUCUCCCACUGCCUUAAGCAAUACGUGUCUACCACCUGACGAAAGAAGAUUGCGCUUCCAUCCUUGGAUUCUUUUCCAAACCUUUUCUUUGAUCAUACUAAAAGAAGCCUUUUUCGAUUUAGAGACUGUAGAAGGCAAACCAAGGUAUUUAUCCUGAGCCCCAAUAUGAUUAAUAUUCAUAGAGUUAGCCAGUAGUGUACGAGUAGUGGACGGAGUGUUGUGGCUAAAGAAUACAGCAGAUUAUUAAGAUUUACCCUCUGGCCACUGAUGCUUUCAUAAGAAUUCAAUAAAUGCAAGAUAUUUGAACAUGCUUCAGGAUUAGCCUUACAGAAUAAAAUGGAAUCAUCAGCAAACAGGAGGUGGUUGACCUUGGGACAUCGCAUAUGUAUCUGAAGACCCUGAAUUAGUCUGUUUUGUUCUGCCUUGUGUAACAAGAAGGAGAAACCUUCUGCACAAAAAAGAAAAAGAUAGGGGGAUAGAGGAUCUCCUUGUCGAAUACCUCUAUUUGGUUUGAAGAAACCAUAAGGUUGUCCUUCCACAAUAACAGAAUAAGAAACAGUUGUCACUAAUUCUCGAAUCCACAUGAUCCAUCGGGAGUCAAAACCAAACUUCUCCAAUAUAAACCAAAGAAAGUGUCAUUCCACCCUAUCAUAUGCCUUACUCAUAUCUAAUUUUAGCGCCAUUUUAUUUUCGAGACCCCUUUUUGUUCUUCAAGUAAUGCAUACACUCGUGAGCAAUUAGGAUAUUAUCAGAGAUUAAUCUGCCUUUAAUAAAAGCACUCUGCGUAGGGCUAAUUAGUCUAUUCAUCAUACCCUGAAGCCUAUGUACAAAUACUUUGGAGAUAAUCUUGUAAAAGACUGAAGAUAGACUUAUUGGUUUUAUCUGAGUCAUAUCUUUAGCAUCAGAAAUCUUGGGAAUAAGACAGAUCUGAGUGUGGUUAAAACCCUUCAAGAUUCUACCCCCAGAAAAGAAGCUCUUAACUGCUCAAAAUACAUCACCACUAAGUAUGUUCCAGAAGCUUUGAAAAAAUUUUGCUGUCAUACCAUCAUCUCCUGGAGCACUUUGAGGAUGAAUGCUAAAUGUUGUGCGUUUCACUUCCUCCAUAGUCACUGAUCUUUGAAGCCUACGGUUCAUGUGAGCUGUAACCUUAGGUUCAAAAUCAAUAAACAGAGGUUCAGGGUUCUCAUGACAAGUGGAGGAAAAGAUGUCCUUGAAAUAAGAUUCAGCCACAGAAGCAAUACCAACAUUUGAAGUAGCCACUUCACCAUCACUGCCAGUUAGUUGCCAAAUUCUAUUCCUUCGGGUUCGGUUUCUAAAUUUCUGAUGGAAGAAAGCUGUAUUCUGAUCACUAGAUUUGAGCCAUUUGACUCUAGACUUAUCUUUCCAAUAAGAUUCCUCAUUUUGCAAUGCUUUUUCAAGUUUGUCCUCUAUUUCUGAAAUGAUGUCGCCUCCAUGAAUUCCUGCUAAACGAAGUUCCUCUAAUUCCGACUGUAGUAAAUCAAUCUCCACCUUCGAAUUAGAUCUGUGUUCUUGCUGCCAUCUGACAAUCUUAUGCCGACAACGCUUUAUUUUUUGAGCUAGGAUAUACAUGGCUGAACCAUCAAUCUGUUCAUGCCAAACCUCUCUAACAAUCUGCCUUAUUUCAUCAUUGGAACACCAUCUUUCUUGGAAUUUGAAUCGGCGUUUAGAUCUCUCAGUUCUCGGAUUAGAGUAUAGGAGAAGAGGGCAUGAUCCGAGCCUGAUUCUGACAGUCUAAGAACCGUUGCAUUGGGAUAGAGUUGCUGCCAAUCAACUCCUACCAGGAAUCGGUCCAGUCUUUCCUGUAUCAACUCAUCACCCCUCCGUCUAUUUGAUCAAGUGAAUGGUCUUCCGACCAUACCAAUAUCAAUCAGGGAAUUAUCAUCAAUAAAACUAUUAAAGGUUUCAAUAGGAGAAGGAGAUUUAGCACCCUCACCUUCUUUCUCCAAUUGAUUAGAAAUGUCAUUAAAAUCCCCCAUUAACACAACCUUACCAUCGAACUGUUGGGUGACUGAAGUUAAUUCAGCAAAUUGAGCCAUUCUAUGUUGAUCAUUUGAACUGAGAUAAACACCUAGAACACCAUAGGGAUCAUUAGAACCAGCUGUCAGAACUGAUGCCGCAAUGAAAAAUCUACCAUGCUGUAAAAUCUGAACAGUGCAACCAUCCCUCCAUGCCAUUGCCAAACCCCCUGAUAAUCCAUCCGGAUCUACAAUAAACCAUUCCUUGAAACCACAAGAUGUUAGUUUUCCUUCAACUUGUCGAGAUUGAUUUUUUGUUUCACAGAUAAAACCAACCUCGGGGGAGUAGGAUUUGCAAAUCCCUUUAAGAUUGUGGAUUGUCAGGGGCCUCCCCAAACCCCGACAAUUCCAUGAGAGCAGUUUCAUAUUUCUUUGGGUGCCACUUGAAGGCCGGCACCCUCCACCGUCAUAGCAAUUAUAUGAGGGUUCUGAGUCUCUUAUUUGUUGCUCAUGGUGUAGAGAAAAUCAGAAUUGGUAUUCAAUGAUUCCAAAGAGACAUAAGAUAUAUGGAAUGAGUGAAUUAGAAAACGGAAUGAAUUAAAAGAGGAAUGAAUUGGGAGAGAAAACGAAAAUUAGGGAGCUAAGUGGAAAAGAAAUUAAGAAAAGAAAGUAGAAGAAGAUGGAAAAGAGUUUGCCGAAGAAAAGACAAAAAAAGGUGUAACCAUGGAGGCGGUGCAGUGAAACUGUUGGUUUAUGGUAUAACCAGAAAUAUUUAGGACAGAGAUAUAAGAAAAAUACGUAGGUGAAAGGAAUGGGAAUCACUCAUUUUUACUUUACUGAAGCAGUACAUUUAUAGGAUUUUAAUCCAUGACACUACCACAUCACCACUAAACUAGGAAGUGGGAUGAACAGAAACUGCCACAUACCCACUAGAUAAGGAAGUGGAAUAACAAAAACUACUUUUCUCCUAAAGUGCAGGAACCACUAAUUGACUAAAACAACAAACUGAAACAAUAAUAAAAAAAACUUAAUGCAGUCCAAAAGCAAAUAAUUAACACUCCUCCUUGCUUUAGGAUCUGCAAACUCCAAUUUUCUGCCUCAAUAGCUCAAACUUGCUGACAGGAAGUGGCUUUGUAAACAAAUCUGCCUUUUUCCAUUUUGGAUCCUUGAGUGCUUCUUCACAGCAACUAGGUUCGCAUACUACUACAUUGCAUCUUUGAUAAAUGUCUGACAGCAGUCUUGUGCCUCUGAUGGGAUGAUCAUCUUCUAAUUCAUUUUGACACAACUCUGUUGUUUGGUUUCCGCCAUAAUCAUCUUCAAUAUUGUUACAAGGUUCAAUUGUUUUUCGUGGGUUCUUCCAAUCCCAUUGUUGAUCUUCAUUGAAAUGGACAAGCUUUUUACAAAGCCUAUGCUCAAUAGGUGUUCAUUUAUCCUACUGUACCAAGCUCUUGGUGCUUGUUUUAAUCCAUAAAGGGCUUUUUUUAGUAGAUAGACUUUAUCUUCUUCUCCAUGCAUAACAAAUCCCUCUGGCUGCUCCACAUAUAUCUCUUCUUGUAAAACUCCAUUUAAAAAAGCUGAUUUGACAUCUAAAUGGAAUACUUUCCAGCCUUGUUGAGCAGCAACUGCUAACACCAAUCUAAUUGUAUCUAAUCUGGACACCGGUGCAAACGUGUCAGAAUAAUCAACACCAAAAAUUUGUGCAUACCCUUUUACUACAAGUCUGGCCUUGUAUUUAUUGAUAGAGCAAUCCGCAUUAAGCUUUGUUCUGAACACCCAUUUAACUCCAAUAACUUUUCUGUCUUAAGGCUUGUCAACCUUUUUCCAUGUGUUGUUUUUUUGAAUCAUUGAAAUCUCAUCCUCCAUUGCCUUUUUCCAUUUUGGAUCCUUGAGUGCUUCUUCACAGCAACUAGGUUCGCAUACUGCUACAUUGCAUCUUUGAUAAAUGUCUGACAGCAGUCUUGUGCCUCUGAUGGGAUGAUCAUCUUCUAAUUCAUUUUGACACAACUCUGUUGUUUGGUUUCCGCAUACCUUAGCUUGUAUAUUUGAACUUAAUGGGGCAAGAGUUUUAUGAAAACGUGUAUUCUGAGUAUGAAUUAUUCAAAGAUGGAUAUUUUUAUUUCGUUGCUAUCCUUCGCUAAUUAAUUAAGAGGACCCAGGUCGAUUAAAUUGGCUCUGUAUUUUACAGUUCCAUAUAUAAUAAAAUGAUUUUUUUUUUUCAGAUUUCCGUUUGCUUACAUGUGGAAGGUUCCUUUGUUUUUUUCACGGUGCACACAAAAGAAAAAAAAAAUUAGUUAUUUCCCUUCCCUUGCCUCCUCCAGUUUAGACGACUAAUAGCAACAAUUGAAAGACAUCACAAUUUAUAAUACUGAAGAUUAAAUUAAUUACGUUAUAUUAAAUGUAUUUUAUGUUAUUUUCUUUAUUUAAAGCAAAAUUGUUUAUGUUUCCACUAUAUCGUCUUAAUUAUUAGAUAAAAAAGCAACUAAUUUGCAAUUAAAGAAAAAUUUAAGUCAAUUAUAUCGUAAAAAAACUUAUAUAUAUUAUGAAAAUUUAAGCGCAACACAUAUAAGAAUGAUAAAAUAUCAAAAUAAAAAACACAUUAAAAUUUGACAGUGAUAAAAUUAAAUAUGCUUGAACAACAAUUUACUCACAGACACUCAAAAAAAAAAAAUUAAUUACUCCAUUAUCCUCAACUAAUUUUAAUUUUUUUUAUUUAUUUUAUAUUUAAAAUUAUAAAUUUUUAACCUUAAUUAGACUCUAAAUUAUAAUUUCUAAACCCUAAAUUCUUCAUAAAAUAAAAAUUUUUAGAAUUAAAAAAAUUGACUAAUGUUAACGAAUUAAAAAUUAAUUUCUAAUACUUUUUGACAUAAAAAGAAAAAGAAAAACAUUUUUUUUUUCAAUUAGUAGAAAACAUAACAUUUAAGUUAUAUUUGUUUCUAAGCAUAAGAUGCUAAAAUAUAAACACAAAAAUAUAAAAUUAUAUUUGAGAGAUGUUAAAAGAGACAGAGACAUACCUCAAAAUAUGGAAUUAGUGUAUUUUGUAUCUUUACGAACAGAAAUAACACAAACACUAAUUUAUAAUUAUAAUUUGUUUUUUUACUAAGAGAUACAAUUUAUUUUUUUAUAUUUUUUCUUUCAUUAUUUCUAUUAUCUUUUAUAAUUAUAAAUUUUAUUAUUAUAUUUUUCUUCUUAAAUANNNNNNNNNNNNNNNNNNNNNNNNNNNNNNNNNNNNNNNNNNNNNNNNNNNNNNNNNNNNNNNNNNNNNNNNNNNNNNNNNNNNNNNNNNNNNNNNNNNUUAAAUAUUUUGGAUAAAAAAAUAAAUUAAAUUUUUAAAAUUUAUUCUUUCUUAUAUUUAACUUAUCAUCAAAUAAAAUAAUUUUGUGUCUUUAUUCUUUAUAUCUCAUCCUCAAAAUCUUUAUCUUAUUUUGUUAUGAGAAUCAACGUGUCUUAUAUUAUGCACGCUAGACUGCUAGAGUCCCUUGGGAUGCCUAGUCAUACGAAUAUUAUAGCCCAUGUCUUCAGUUUUUACAGCCUCACUCUUCUUAAUUUUGUUGUUGUGAGGCUUCAGCUGCUGCGAUUGUUUUGGUUAAGUUCAUUCCCUUGGAGAUAUUCUUAGGUUUGCUGAGAUCAGCCAUGUAGAUCGAUAUAUCAAUCAAUGCAAUCGAUCAUAAUAAUAGUAAUAAUCACUACCAGAAAUGCGGUGAUUAGCCACGGAAAAAAUCGUGGCUAAAAUCAAGAAAUUCCGUAGCGAUUAAGCUUUAACAACGAAUACAUUUCCGUGGCUAACAAGGACGACGCCUUUUCAGUUAGCCACGAUUUUCAUCCGGUUAGCCAUAGUUUUAUGAUCCGUAGAGACAUCUGAAUAGCCACGGUUUUUACGUUAUUGGCCACACUCUAAACCGUAGCUAAAUGACAACAGUGUAACCAAGUAUAGCUUUGCGACAAUUUUUCCGUGGCUAAUAUUGGUAAGCUGGGCUUUUUUGCCACAUUUUUUCCGUAGCCAAUAUUGGUAAGCUGGGCUUUUUUGCUACAUUUUUUCUGUGGCUAAACAUUGUUGGGUUAUUUAGCCACGAUUUUUUCGUGGCUAAUCAUAAAAGAUAAAUUAAAAAAUAUAUAUAUAUAAAAUAAAGAUGCUACUUAGAACAAAAUUAUAUUAUACAAAAUUAAAAAGAUUAGCCAUAUCCAUAUAAGUAAUAUUUUUAGUAAUAAAAAUAUGAAAUUUAAGUAACAAUGUUGAAAAGCAAAUAUCCUGAACUAAAUGAGUUUAAACUAUUACAAAAUCAAGUAUCAAAAUGUAUCAUUAUUAGAUCUCUAAGGUCUUCAUUGGAAUACUUGCAAAAACAUUCAAAUAAGAUUGUGUUAUCUCUUAAUUCAUGAAAAAAAGUCCCAAGACAUUAUUUAAAAUAAUAUUUUAAUGUAGUUAAAAAAAAGUAGGAAUGCAUACCAAUAAUGCUGAGUUUUCAUUUUCACAACAUAAAACAUCUUAUUGAACCCGUCAUCAAUCAAUAUAUAUAUUGCUAGACUUGAUAUCCUGGUGAACAACUUUCAAUUCAAUUGCUUCAUACAAGUAAAUGAGCAAGCCUGUCAUGAAUAAAGAUAAAAUAGAUAGUGAUAUUAAUGAUAUUUUCUCAUAUUAAAACUUAACUAUAGUAUUAUUUAACGAGACAAACGAAUACUAUUAGCGAGAUAUUGGAUUGCAAUCAAAACCAUUUAGAGAAAAAGAACUUAAAGUAAAAAUAAAAAUGUGUUAGAAAUUACUAAGGUCAAUAUUUUAAAGUAGAAAGUUGAGCUUACCAGGUAACUAUCGAAUAAAACUUUCAUGCGGACCUCCCAGGUAAGUGUCCCUUGUUCCAUGGCAACAUGCAUCCAUUACUCUAAGUUACCAUUAUUGACAUAUUCAUCCAUUAGCAGCUUAAAUAUUGAAACAAACACUAAAGCAAAAAUACUAUUGAUAAUACAAAGAAAUAGAUAAUUAGAUACUAUGUACUCGAAAAUUGUGAGAGCACAUAUAAUAACUUAAAGAAGUGCAACUUUAUUCAACGUUGGUAUCAGGACCUUUAACACUGUCUUCUACUUAGUUCAAAUUUAUCCAUAUUCAUAUAAGUUUCAAUAAUUACAAAGUUACAAAGCUAAAUUAAAAGUUGAACAAUUUAAAAUAAAACACAAACUUGCAUGGAGAUCCCAGCAUCGACAAGAGACAAAGUUGCAGCAUUGAUACACACAGAUCUAGUUCCUACACAGGAAUAUUGGGGAAGAAUUAGUGAAUGGUAAAAAAAAAUAGUCUUUUAAAUACAAAAAAAAUUAAAGAUUCAAGAGAAUAUUAGAUAAAUAUAAAAAAAGCUGCUUAGGGUUCUUUCCAUUCUUCUUUGUAAUUCAGGAUUACCUGCAAAAUCUUCGAUUUUCGCUAUUUUGGGACCUUCUUUGGUAAUUUAACGUUGAAUUUACUAAGGAUACAGAGAAAAUGAACAAUAGUAUGAACUGUGAAGGAGUUCUUCCAAUUUUCCAGUGAGUGGGCUUUACUUUGGUGUUGAGUGAAAAUUACUUUUAAGUUUUUCGCCCAAAAUUUCACUUGUAAAAGUUCAUUUGAAUUUAUUUCAGUCAAGUAAUUGAGAUUUUUAAUUUAAAUUAAUAGUUAACUAUAAAAAAUAUAUAAAUUAUAAUAUAUACCAUAUUUCAAAGACGAUACAUACUAAUUACUGUUACGUUAAUUUAUGUUGGAUAUUUUUUUUUACUAAAUUGAUAAAAAGAUAAUAAAAAAAUAAAAAAAUUAAAUUUAGAAAAACUAAUGCAUAUUGUAAAUUAGAGACAAAAAAAAUGUACUCUUUUUUAUCAUGAAUUUUAUAUAUACUUUUAACAUUCAUUCUCAAUUAAUUAAAGCAAUAAGUAUGUAUUCUUUUUAUACUAUUUUAACUAAUGCAUCUUCUAGUCACAAAAAAAACUAAUGCAUCUUCGGUUACUCAAUGCUGAAUUUACUAAGGAUACGGAGAAACUGAACAAUAGUCUGAACAUGUGAGAGAAUUCUUCUGAUUUUCUAGUGAGUGGGCUUUACUUUGGUGCUAAGUGAAAGUUAUUUUUUUCCGUCUAAAAUUUUACUUGUGUAUUGUAAAUGUUCAUUUGAAUUUAUUUCAGUCAAGUAAUUAAGAUUUUUAAUUUAAAUUAAUAAUUAACUAUAAUAAAAAAUACAAAAUUAUAAUUAUAUAUCAUAUUUCAAAGACGGUACAUACUAAUUAGGAUUAUGGAUUUUGACUCGAAUUUAAAAAAUAAACGAAAAAAAAUAUUAAAAUUUUGUAACUAUUUCAAAAAUAAACCUACGUUAACUUAUGUCGGAUAUUUUUUUAUUAAAUUAAUAAAAAAAUAAAAAAUAGGAAAAUUAAUACAUAUUGUGAAUUAGGGACAAAAAAAUGUACUCUUUUUAUUAUGAAUUUUAUAUUUUUAUCAUCCAUUCUCAAUUAAUUAGAGUUAUAAGUAUGUACUCUUUUUAUAUUAUUCCAACUAAUGCAUAUCUUAUCAAUUGAAAAUGGCUGGGAAGGAGAGAGAAAAAAUCAUCGACAAACUAGAUAAGUCUGCACCCUUAAAAAUUAAAAUUUAUUAUUAAAGUUUAAAUUUGGAAAAAAUAGGAACUGCCUAUAAAAUUUUUGAAAGGAAUGGAAGGAAACACUAGAAGCGCAUAAUUUAAAAGUAGACAUGUUUGAUUUCGGCUACGGUGAGCAUUGGGUCUGUGGUAAUUGAGAGAAUCCGAUUCAAAUUGGCCACAGACAAACAAGAACGUGGGAAACUUUCGCACAAUUUAACCACGGAAAAGCAAAACGUUGCAAGUGAUUACGACGAUCAUGAAAAUUUGCCACUGUUUUUUGUUCGUGAGUAUUUUCCCGUGGUAAACUAUCGUGUUUCUGGUAGUGAAUAUUGUGAUUGUGAUCAAUGAAAAUGUUCAAUUUGAAAUACAAUAUUCUUGUUUUGGUGUGCUCUUCAAACUCCACAAAAUGACUAUAUAUAGAGAGCGGCUAGGGUUUUAUACAUGACUGACGUGGCAUAUAGUAGCAAUUAACAGGGCAAUUCUCCUUUGGCAAAAUGUGCUUUAAUUUGUAUGUGUAAUUUAGAAAAAUUAAUACAUACUGUGAAUUAGGGACAAAAAAAUGUACUCUUUUUAUUAUGAAUUUUAUAUUUUUAUCAUCCAUUCUCAAUUAAUUAGAGUUAUAAGUAUGUACUCUUUUUAUAUUAUUCCAACUAAUGCAUAUCUUAUCAAUUGAAAAUGGCUGGGAAGGAGAGAGAAAAAAUCAUCGACAAACUAGAUAAGUCUGCACCCUUAAAAAUUGAAAUUUAUUAUUAAAGUUUAAAUUUGGAAAAAAUAGGAACUGCCUAUAAAAUUUUUGAAAGGGAUAGAAAGAAACACUAGAAGCGCGCGUAAUUUAAAAGUAGACAUCGUUUGAUUUCGCCACGGUGAACAUUGGGUCUGUGGUAAUUGAGAGAGUCCAAUUCAAAUUGGCCACAGACAAACAAGAACGUGAGAAAUUUUUGCACAAUUUAACCACGAAAAAGCAAAACGUUGCAAGUGAUUACGACGAUCAUGAAAAUUUGCCACUACUUCUUGUUCGUGAGUAUUUUCCCGUGGUAAACUAUCGUGUUUCUGGUAGUGAAUAUUGUGAUUGUGAUCAAUGAAAAUGUUCAAUUUGAAAUACAAUAUUCUUGUUUUGGUGUGCUCUUCAAACUCCACAAAAUGACUAUAUAUAGAGAGCGGCUAGGGUUUUAUACAUGACUGACGUGGCAUAUAGUAGCAAUUAAAAGGGCAACUCUCCUUUGGCAAAAUGUGCUUUAAUUUGUAUGUGUAACCUAACUUGUCAAAGGAGAUAAGCACCAUAACUGGUUUGAUCCCUACUAAGAAUUUGUUUGGAUGAGUUUCUAAAAAAAAUAUUUUUUUAGUUAUUUUUUUUAAAAAAUCUUAUCAAAAAGUAAAAAUAAUUUUAUGUUUAGGUAUAAUUAACAAUAUAAAAGUACUUUUUUUAUUUAUUAUGUAAAAAAUAUAUUUUUUUUAAAAAAAUAUAUUUUAAAAAAGAUGUAAAUUGUAACUUCUUAAAAAAGAUUUUUUUCUAGUACUUUUACUUUUAUUACUAGAAAUCUGCCAAAUACGUUAAAAAAUAAAGAAAGAACUUUUUUCAAUAAAAAAAUCUUUUUUUAUCAAGAUAAUAACAUCCAAACAAACACUAAAUAUUUAUUCUAUAGUACAAGCAAAAAGCAUUUUUUUUUGGGUAAUGCUAAGGAGAAAAAAAAAACAGCCAGAACUUAUCUUAUUUAGUAUUCAUUAAUUAUCGUAAUAAUUAAUAAAUACUAAAUAAGACAAGUUAUAGUUAUUUUUGGUUAAUUUUCUUUGGUUAUCGAAACAUUUCUCUUUACUAAUUAGAGAAAAUAUCAUUCCCCUUCCCUAUGAGAUACUAAAAUGUCACUCCCUUCCCCUCUAUUUAUAAAAUGUAUAUUCUCCUUCUUUAUAACUUUUAAAAAACUUCAUCUUUAAUUCAUUUUAAAUUUUGUGUGAAUUAAUGUUAAUUUUAUCCAUUUUUCAAGAAAAAAUAAAUUAUAUUUUAUAAAAAUAUCCUUUAGCAAAAAUUUUAUUUUUUGUGAUUAAAUUUUGUAUACCAAAAUAUUCUUUAACAAAUUAUUUUUCUAGUGAUUGAAUUAUAUUCUUACCAAAAUAUUCUUUAAAAUAUUUUGUAAUGAUUAAAUUAUUUUUUUACUAAAAUACCCUUCAAUAUCAUUUUUCUAGUGAUUAAAUUGUGAUAUCAAUACAUAUUAUUUUAACAUUAAAUUAAAGAGAAAUUCUCCACAUACAAGCAUUUUUUUAUACAAGUCUUUACAAGUUAUUAUAUUAACGCGCUUGAACUGUUACUGUACGUUCUUCUUCCUCUUCCUCUUCUUCUUUUUUUAUUUCGUUUCUUGCUUUCUCUUUCUCCUUCAACCGUUACUGCACAAUUUCACUGCACCGUCGUCUUCUUCUUGCUGCACAUUCUUCUUCCUCUUCCUCCUCCUCUUCUUCUUCUUCUUCUUUUCUUUCGUUUUUGUAAAAAAUAAUUUAGUUUUUCUUGAAAAUAGAUAAAAGACAUUAGUUAACACAAAAGAAUUUAAAAUAGAUUAAAAUGAGAUUUUUUAAAAUCUAUAAAAGAGGAAAAUAUACAUUUUAUAAAUAAAGAGAAAAAAAUAUUAUUUUAGUAUCUCCUAGGAGAAGAGUGGUAUUUUCUCUACUAAUGACCAAUCAUUGCACUGUUUUAAAACUACUACACAAAAGUCAAAACUCUUCCCUUCAAAAGGUUAUGUCUUUUAAUUUGCACCACUUCAUAUUGAAAAACCUCCCUAUAAAUAUUAAUAAUUCUUCAUAGCUCCAUCAUUCCAUAACCAUUUCAAGAACUAGAAAGAUGGCAGAAAAAGAAACCGACCAAAUUUCUUCAUUACCCGAAGAGCUUCUUCUCAACAUUCUUUCCUCGCUUCCUUUCAAAGAAGCAGCGAAAACAUGUAUCCUCUCCAAGAAGUGGUUCAAGAUGUGGCAAUCUACCAACACAGUGAAGAACAACCAACUCGAAUGCAAGAAGGUAGAAGCUUAUGGAGCCGUUGAAGUACCGCAAAGGAAGUCUUUCAAGAACUUCAUCAAGAUCUGGAUCACAUUGUACAAAAAUCACCAUCUCCACGACAAAUUCACCCUCAAGGUUUCUCCUCCUUCGAACUGCGGUGACAUCGUUGGAGCCUCCGUCGAUUUCGCCGUAGAGGACGGCGUGAAAGAUUUGGAACUCGAUUUCGCCGAAGCGCAGUGGGAGGACGAACAUCCUGAAGAGAAUAUCCACGAUGCCUCGGUUGAAUUUCCGAGACACCUUUACGAGAACAAGAAACUGCACCAGAUGCUCGAGAGUUUGAAACUGCACUCGUGCAGUUUCGCGCCUGCAAAUUUCGCCAAGUUUGUGGCACUGAAAGAUGUGACUCUUGCUUGGAUUCCGUUGCAACUGGAAUCGAUUAGGACGCUGUUAUCGACGUGCGAGUGGAUCGAGAGUUUGAGCCUGAAGAACUGUUGGGAUAUUGAAUCCUUUGAUGUAAAGAAAUUGGAACUGAAGAAGUUGGUGAUUGAUAGGUGCAUAAUUGGAACAGAUUAUAUUGGUUUUGAGGCGCCAAAUUUGAAGGUUUUCAAGUACUGUGGUUCAGUGCCGCCGGUGUCUGAAGUGAAGGUGGAAGCUGGUACCAUGGAGGAGGCAGAUCUUGAUUUAAGCCCCAUGGAUGAGUUCUUUGAAUGUGGCAACGAACUUCAGAAUUUUCUUCAAGAUUUCUUUGCGGUCAAUGUUCUUACAGUUUGCAGCGUGAUUCUUCAGGUACUUCGUAUAUGUGUGUUAUUGCAAAGGUUUCUUUGGUUUUGGGAAUAGUAAUAGUUAGAAAUGGUAGACUGUAAGACUAUAUUUCAUUACUAAAUUUCUAGCUUUAUAUUUAAGUAUAUAUACUAAUACUAAUAUAGUAACUAAAACGUUUUUUAUAAUUUUAUUAAUUUGUUAAUGAAUGAAAGGUGAUUCCUUCGGGAGAUGAACCCGUGAGGCUACCAGGGGGUUUGAGGGUGAGACACUUGAAGAUGAAAAUCCAAAUGCAUCCCCAAGAAUUUUGCGGAUUCCUUUGGUUUCUCAACAGUUGUCCUAGGUUGACCAAAGUAGCAACAAGCGACCAACUCUAUGCAUGCUCCUAUUUCAUCAGUGCGGCUUCAAUUUUGACGAAGCUCAGCAUCAAUGUCUUGAAGAACAAGAAUGAUGACCCUAACACGGUGGAGAUGCGUCGUAUUUUAGCAUCGCAAUUGCUCCGUAUUCCAAAGGCUUCAAGAGUUUUGGCCAUAAUAAUUCGUUGACUGUUAUUAUGGUUGGGAGAAAACUCUCUGUUAAUAGAUAAUAGAGAUGCGAGUUAUAUAUAUGGUUAAGGAGUACACUGAUAAAUAAGUCUGUACAGUAAUUUUUCCCCUAAUACCUGGCCUACUGAUGAAUUAGUAGAUGUAUCCUAUGAAAUUUUAAUAUAAUAUUUGGUAAUUUGUGUUGUGAUAAAUAUAAAUUGAUGUCCAUUUAAUAUAUUGUGAUUUUUUUUACAAUGUUGGGCGGUUAAUUUUUUUGAUACAAAAAUUUAGUUUUUCAAUAAAGACUAAACUUUAUGAAGUUUGAAAAAUAAAUAUUUUGUCCACGUAUAAAUAGUAAUAAAAUCUGAAGUAUAUGACACACAACAAUAAUAAAAUACUUUUCUCUUUUUUUACAUGCUACGAUAAUUAUAUAAACAUUCUUCUCUCUUUUUUAUAUAUACAUUACUACAUAUUAGUAAUAUAUAUAUGAAUCAUUUCUAUUAUAUUAAGAUAUUAAUUACGGUGAACAUUAAUAUUAGAUUUAUUUUUUUACAUUUUUUAUUUUAUAUUUAUUUUCUUUUUUUUAUUUAUUUAUUUUACAACACACUAUCAGCACGAGAUUCUGAUCAAAAUUUAGGAAGACUCAGGUAAUAAAUUUUUAUUAUGUCAAAUUAAAGCUCUCUUAUCUUAAAUUUAAUACUCUUGAUAUAUUUGAAAACAACUACUUAUCAUGGAUACUAGGUGCCGAAAUACAUCUUGAUUCAAUGGAUCUUUAGAGAUGCCAUUAAGGUUUCAAAAAGAUAAAGCCAAAGUUAUGAUCUUCUUUCGUCGUCACCUUGACGGAAGAUUGAAAAAUAAAUAUCUCCCACUAAAACAUUCUACAGAUCUGUGGAAAAACCUUGAAAAAAGGUAUAAUCAUAAAAAAAAUAGUGAUACUCCUCAAACCCAAUAUGAGUGGACACACUUACGUCUACAGGAUUUUAUAUAUAUCCAUAAAUAAAUACACAAUUCAGCAAUGUUCCGAAUUACCUCAUGAAUAAAAUUAUGUGGGAAAAAGAUAAAUUAUAAUGACAUAUUAGAAAAAAAUUUUUCGACCUUUUAUGACUCGAAUGUGCUCCUGCAACAACAAUAUCGAGAAAAAGAAUUUAAAAAAUAUUCUGAGCUAAUUUUUUGUCUUCUUGUUGCUGAAUACAACAAUGAGUUGUUUUUAAAAAAUCAUGAAGCGCGCCCAGUUGGCGUCGCCCCAUUUUCUAAAGCAAAUGCAGUAAAUCAUUACUUCAAAAGAGAUAAAUGGCAUGAUUUUGGUAACAAGAAAAAUUAUGUUCACAAGAAAGGAUCUCAUCAGAAGUGGGAUAAAGAAAAAAAAUAAUGGGCAAAAUAAACCAACAGUGGAUAAAUAUUUCCAUUGUGGUGGAAAGGGCCACGUAUCUGUCGUACCCCAAGGCACUUAGUUGAUCUUUAUUAAGCAUCUUUGAAAAAGAAUGAAAAAGGAAAGAAAACAAAUUUUGUUUCAAAUGAUGUUGCUAAAAAUUACACCACUCAUUAUGAAGUAUUUGAUUUCUUUGAGGAUCUUGAAGGAAAUAUUGGUCAUCUGAUCAAUGAUGAAAAAGUCUAAUAUGUGGGUUUGUUCAGUACUCAUGUAAAUAAAUAAUGUAAGAAACUUCUUGUUAAAUUUUAUUUUCUACGUGUUUGGAUUUUAAAUAUGGAUAAGUAUUAUUUUAGUCCCUAACGUUGAGGGUCAGAAUCAAAACCGUCCCCAACAUAAUUUUUUAUUUAGAAUCAUCCUUAACAUUUUUUUCGUAUUAAAAUCGUCUUUUUUAACUUUUUCUGGACAAAAAUACUCUCAACUACUAUCAGCACCUUUACUUCUACCACCACCAUUAGUACCUUUACUUCCACCACCACCAGCACCUUUACCUCCACCACCAAGAAAAACAACAUCAAUGAAAUCAACAUAAAUUCAACAAAUCAAGGAAUCGAAAAUUCAACAAAUCAACACAAAUUCAACAAAUUUAACAAUCAAAUCAACACAUAAUAACAUUAAAAUCAGAAAACAACAAAUCAAAAUCAGAAGCAGAAGCAGAGGCAGUCACAGAAGUAGAGAAAGCAAAGGCAGUCACAGAAUUAGAAAACUUAUCAUGCUCCUUGAUUUUAUUUCUGAUUAAAAGCAAGAAAGCAAAAACAGAAGCAAAUUCAAGAAUCGGGAAGCAAAAAGCAAGAAGUAGAAGCAAAAAGCAAGAAGCAGAAGCAAGAAAGCAAGAAGCAAAAGCAAAAAGCAAAAUCAGAAAAGUAAGAAAGUAGAAGCAAGAUGCAGAAGCAGAAAGCAAGAAGCAGAACCAAAAAACAAGAAGCAAGAAGCAAAAAGAGAGGGGCAAGGUGCAGAUGAAACGGCGAGGCGGCAAGGCGGCGAGGCGGCCGGCGAGGUGCAGCAGUGAGGUCAACGGCGGCAGUGGCUCGCGUCUCCUCUCUCCCUCGUAUUGGCUCAUGCAAUAUGAUAGAAGGCUCUAGAAGAGUUAUAAUUUUGUUUCCCAAAUGAACAAAAUUCAUAAUAAAUAAUGUACUAUUGUCUACCAAGUCUCUAAAGAACUUGUUGAGUUUUAAAGGUAUUUGCCAAAUGGAUAUCAUAUUGAAACAAUGAAUGGGGAAUAUCAUGAGUAAUUAUAUAUCACAACUCAUGAUUCAAAUAAAAAGACUAUAUUAAAAAUGUUACGCUCACUUUCAUCUGGGUUAUAUUAUACUAAAAUGAGUGUAAUUGAAUUACAUGCCAUUAUAAACCUGCAAAAGUUUACUAACCUAAAUGAAUUUAAAAAAUUUGGCAUGAUCGAUUGGGUCAUUCAGGAACAACCAUGAUGCGAAAAAUUAUUAAAAACUCCCAUGGACAUUCACUAAAGAACCAGAAGAUUUUUAAAUUUAGUAAAUUUUGUUGUGCUGCAUGUUCUCAAGGAAAACUAAUUUUAAGGCUAUCACCAGUAAAACUUAGAUUUGAGUCUCCUAAAUUUCUAGAAAGGAUUCAAGGCAAUAUAUGUGGACCUAUUAAUCCACCAUGUGGAUCUUUUAGAUAUUUUAUGGUCCUAAUAGACGCAUAUUUGAGAUGGUCACAUGUGUGCUUAUUGUCUUCUGCAACCUGGCGUUUACGAGAUUACUUGCGCAAAUUAUUCGAUUAAAAGCACAUUUCUCAGAAAAUCCAAUCAAAGUAAUUCUUCUUCACUCAUGAUCUUCAAAAUCAAUGAACAAUUGAUAUCCAAUAGAUCCGCUCAAGUGAUAAUCUGGCAGAUUUAUUUACAAAAUCACUUCCAAAAUCCUCCUUUAAAAAAUUGGUAUAUCAGAUUGGGAUGUGAUAAUUUCAAGAUAUAAAAUAAUGUUGGCAAAAGGAGGAGACUGUACUCUUUUUUCUUUGGUCAGGUUUUUCUCCAUAUUGAUUUUUUUUUUACAAAGUUUUUAAUGAGGCAGUCCUCGUCACAAAGGAUAUUGUACUAUUUUUUCUUUACUAAAAUUUUUUUUAUUGAAAUUUUCUUUAGUAAGAUUUUAACAAGACAUAAUCCUAAAUGGACAUCCAAUGAAAAAUGUUGCCCAUUUAAUACAUUGUGAUUUUCUUCACAAUAUUGGGCGGCUAACUUUUUUUAAUAGAAAAAUUUAAUUACUCAAAAAAGACUAAAUUUUAUGAAUUUGAAAAAUAAAUAUUUUGUACCAUUAAUACUAGAUUUAUUUAUUUAUGUUUUUUUAUUUUUUAUUUUUUCUUUAUUUAUUUAUUUUACACCAAUUUGAUUAGUAAUGCAACAUUAUUAUUGAAUAGUAGUUAGUUUCACAAAAUUACUUGAUCUUAAUAUUUUUUCGAAUAUGCAGAUACUAUUUGAAAGAGGAAGUAUUUAAGAAUGCAACUUAAUUAUAUUUGGUAUUAAACGAAAUUUAAUUUUAAUCUAUUAUUAAUAUAAAGUAAUUUUAUUCAUGAAUUCAAUUAAUAACGUUUAUCUUUUAAAAAAUUAUUAUUUUUAUUGAAUGUAUAAAUAAUUAUCCAAGAAUAUAAAUGUAAGUAUAUGAUUGAAUAAAAUAUUUUACACUGAUAAUACAUUAAACUCAAAAACUCAUCAUUGAGCAUGUAUUUUGAUAAGAUGGGGGCGAAAACAUAUUUAUUUGAUAAUAAAUUGAUAACUGUUGUCUAAUUAUAUUUUCUCUUAAAUAAAAUAAUAUGACUAAAAAUAAAAAUAUUCUCUGAUACAGUUUUAUUGUUUAGUCAAAUGNNNNNNNNNNNNNNNNNNNNNNNNNNNNNNNAAUUUAUAAUUUAAUCUUUGUUAAAUUCUAAAAUAAUUUUAAUAAUAAAAAACACGUGAAUAAUUGGUACACAUAAUCAAGGUGCACAUACAAAUAAAACUUUAUUGAGGUUGAAUAAAACUUGGCCAAGUAAGAGAAAUAAUUUUUCUUAAAUGGUUGAUAAGAGUGAUAAACUGAUAAUAUAGAGUUGCAGCAUGUGGGAAAUUAGAUAAAAUAGGGAAUAAAUAUUUAAUCCGGUUCUUAUUUAUUUUUUAGAAGGAUAAAGUAAUUUCUGUCUAAAAAAAAGGUACAUUCUGAUUCCUAUCUUUAUAUUUUAUGAGCUAUGACGGUUUUUUUGUGCCUUUCAACGUUAAAAACAAAUAGAAUAAGUAUACAUAUCACUUAACGGUAAUGAGUUGGUUGUUAGGUGUCCAUUAAAUACUAAGUUGUCAAUUUAAAAAUGGACAGGGGUUGAUCUAUCCUUGCCUCCCAAACAAAAACGCUGUUGUUUUAAGUGGGAUGGGAGGUUCAAAUGAUACGCUGCUUCACUAUAUACUUUGAAAAUGUAUCACUGUGUUCAACUGUAAACCCUAAGACGGCAUGGUUGAUAGUAAAGAACGUGGGUCGACAUCAAAUCGGUGAAGUGGGAGAGUUGAAAACGAAUCAGGUUGGAGUUUGAAAGUUAUUGGGAGUGUGGAAUCAAUGUGGAAGAAAAAGAGGGUUGUCCUAGAGUGUAAUUGUGGAAUUUAUGCAAUUUUAUUCAUGUCCGGAACCGAUAUAAACCCAAACAGACUAUUCUUUCGAUGCUCAUACUUCAAGGUAGGUUUAUGAACAAUUAAAAUUUUGUUCACUUUGUUUUUCAUUGAUGCUCAUAUUUCAAGGUAGGUUUAUCAAGAAUUUCAAUUAUGUUCACUUUGUUUUUCAUUAGAUUUAUAAUAAAAAAUAUUAUUUUGUAGACUCCAACACUUCAUUACAAAUACUUUUGUUGGCUUAAUGAUUAUGUUGCAUCAUUCAAUGAGGAUGCUGCAAAGACUCUUUUGUUCGGAGGUUUGAAGCUGAAUCAGAAUCAUAAAGAAGGUCAUUCUUCUGCGGAUGAUAACAAAAUUAGAAAGUUAGAGAAAAGAUUGGUUGGCUUAAAAAUUCAUUUGAAGAAAGUUAGAUUUAAUUUUAGUCAAAUUAGAUGCACUCAUGUUGAAUGUGUUAUGUUGGCAUUUGUUGUUGGAAUUGUAGUUGAAAACCUGUUUAAUGGUGUAGUUUAGAGAGAUCAAAUGUUGUUUCUGGAGUAUUGUGAAACAUGGUGAUUAUGGUUAAGUUGUUUAGACUAUAACAUUUGUUGCUAUUGAUCACUUUUGAUGCAUGAAUAUAAAUAUAAUUAACCUGCUUUUGUUUUUAUAUGUUCGUUUAUUAUUCAAUUUUAAAGAAUGCAGUAGUAUACAUAAUUUUGUAAUAAAAUAAGGCAUUAUAAAUUUGUUGAAUAAAGUAAGAAGCCAUCUGCUGAAAGUUGAAACUUAACACAUGAUACCAUAAUAAUAGAAUAAGGGAAUCAUCAUUACAGCCCUUACUAAUAUAGUUACCCAAAAGAGUAUUCAAUCAACUAUACCCACUUAAAACAAUAGCGUUUUUGUUUGAGAGGCAGGGACAGAUCGACUCUUUUCUAUUUUUAAAUUGACAGCUUGACACUUAAUGGAUACCUGACAGCCAACUCAUCACUGUUAAGUGACACGUAUACUUAUUUCAUUUGUUUUUAACGUCGGAAGGCACAGAAGAACCGCCAUGUCUUACAAAAUAUAAAAACAGAAGUCGGAACGUAUUUUUUUUUUAACAGAAAUCACUUUAUUUUUCUUAAAAAUUGAUAGGGACUGAAUUGAGUGUUUACUCUAAAAUGGGUGGGAUGAUAUGAUAUAAAGAGUAAUUGAGAGACUUAUUCAAAGAAAAUGAGUUAGUGAUGAUCACUUAAUUAAAUCUUCAAAAUUUUCCUAUAAAUAUAAUGGUAAUGCUAAGAAGAAAAAAAAAGAUUAAAAUUUACAUUAUUGAAUGUUUAUUAAUUAUUACAAUAAUUAAUAAAUAUUAAAUAACAUGAGUUAUGAUUAUUUUCUUUUGGUUAACAAAUAUUUUCGUAAAUCGCUUUCUAUAUAAUAAUGGUCAAAAGCUAUACAAAUUAAACAGAUAGACCAAUAAGAACGAAACGAACAAUAAUAAUUAACGAAUUACAAUUAAUUAACCAAAUAAUGAAUAAUCUUUGAUCAACAAUAACAAUCUCUGCUGCUGCAAGCUUAUUCCCACUUCCACAUAUGCAUGUACGGAUGUACCUUCAACAAAAAUAUUGAAAGGAUGAAUAAUAUUUAGUUAUCAUCUUCUUAACAUCAUGCUUAAUAUAUAACGAUGAGAUAAUAAUAUAUAUACUUUAAGUAGCUGUUUUGUUUCCUAGUGAUCAUGUGGGUUUUGUGGUCAUGUUAGGCGUAUAGGCCAUGUCUUCAGUUUUCGCUGCUCUGUUGUUGCUGCUGCUGCCGCCGUCGCUGCGAGCAGGGACAGAACUUAGUUAAAAUAAGGAGGCCAUGGUUUUCCAAACUUUUGAUAAAAAAAUUAGUAAUACUUUUUCGAAAAAUAAAAAAUUAGUUCAAUUGAUUCAAAUAUUUUGCUAUGAUUUAAAAUACCAAAGUUCAAUCUUCAUCUCUUGCUUUUAUUGCAUAGUAAUUUUUAGUUUUAAAUAUUAAAAACAUGUUGGAUUUGGACUGAACUGAAUGUAUUCGCAUUUCGCAACUCUCUAUUCAAUAAGCAACACUAUCUCUACCUUUGAGUUCAAAUAUAAAAAAUUAGGUUUUUUUAUUUAUGUAAUUUAAUAUUAUUUUAUAUUUUACUGUUUAUUUAAUUUAAUUUUUUAUAUGAUAAAAAAUAUUAGAAUAUUCAAUAAGUAUUGAUAUUAUUGUAUUUGUAUAAAUUGAUAAAAAAAUUCAAUAAAUAUUAUAAAUUUUAAUAUUUGUAAUUCUAACUUCUUUUUUACAUAUUUUAGAGGAUAUAUAUUCAAAUUUUUAUAUAAAAUAAUCAUGAAAAAUUAAAGAAUUGAUGCAUUUUUUAAGAAAAAAGCUAAUAUUCAAGAAGGAGAACAUAUAACAUUUACAAUAUCAACACAUGUAGAUAGUUCUUCUACUUUAAUGAAUCACGAAAAAAGUGAGAUACAACUUCCAAAAGUUCAAAGAGUUGCAUUUGAUGAAUUUGACCUUAAUUUUUUGGAACGAGACCCUGAAAAACGGAUUUAAAUUUGGCAAUAUCACCCAAAUCAGAGAGAUGAUGUUAGACGAGUUUAUCUUAAAUGGGAUUCAUAUCAAAAGCAUCUUGAUAAUUAUUUUCUAUCUGGCCCCCAAAAUUUUGUUUCAAGCUCCGCCACUGACUGCGAGACUGCUGGUUGCUACUGCUAUUGCUGCUGCUGCGAGACUGCUGGUUGCUGCUGCGGGACUGCCGGGUGGAUCGCGCAGGGAUAUGAGCUGGUCCACAUUUUCGGGUUUAGUUUGUCGAUUCAUUGUGAGAAAUGUAAUGUAAUUAUUAGUAAAAUGUUGUGAUCAAUGGACUAAUUAACACUGUAUUUGAUCUGCCAUUUCGUAUUUAUAGACGUUUUUGAUGCAUGCAUGUGUACAUUAGGGUACAUUUACAUGUAUGAUAUAUAUGAGCGUGUUAACAUUUGUAAACUUUGCAUGAAAUUUAACUUGUAAAAACAUGAUAUUUUGAUAUUGUUGUAUUCUUAUAUUAAUUGUAUAGUUCAGGUGCGUUGUUGGGAAUUUUCCUUAGCUUUCUUGAGAAAACUAAAAUAAUUAAGGAAACUCAUGGUAGCUAAGAGAGGCGUGUACGGUCAUUACUUUUAUUUUUUAUUUUUUUGUUGAAAGAGAUUACUGUUUCUUCAUGCUGAUGAGCAUUGCAUGAGAAAUGCUACUGCAUUUCGACGGAACUGCAGAGAAAUGCAUGGAAUACUCCUCUUUUUUUUUUUUUUAUAAGAAACUCAAUGACAAUAUAUAAUAACUGUAAAAGAAACGGUGGUGAGUAAUUUAUACAAGAAUUUCAGUGUCAUUUGCACGAAAGUGGAAAUAAGCCAUGGCGUGCGGCUGCGUGUUUGAAGUUGGAAGGGCGAAUUGUGAAGGUAUUUACAGUAACGUGUAUGUAGAAUGAGUAGUUGGACAUGAAUUAAAAAAGAUAGAUGAAUAGUCAACAUUAGAGAAAUUACCAGAAGUCAAUGGAAUAUUUGUAUAAUGUGUAUAAUGAAGGUUUAGGAAGUAUUAAAUAUAUAAUCAUUAGUGUUAUCUCUUCUCAUCAGAGCUGAAACUUUUGGGAUGAGUAGUAUCAUAACAUGGUAUUAGAACGCUAGAUCCGAAAGGCCAAAAGUUCGAUUUUUGGUGAACUCCAAAAUCAGUUUAAGUUAUUAUUCCUAGUACUCGGAUAGUUAUUCUAGAUAGUAUGAGGGAUGUUUAUUUUAUAACUCAAUAACUCAUUGUACACAUUAUACAAAUAAUCUAUUGUCUCCCUAACGAGACUCUCAACAUUAUUUAUUAAAUUAUUACUAUUGUUAUAUUUUCUUUGAUUCUUCUAUAAUUCUGUUACUUACUUCUGGGGCCCGGCCCGGCCAUAUUAAUAGUUAAAUUGAAGCGGUAUGCAGUCGGAUCAUAACAAUAGAAAGUGUAUUACAGAUUUUUUGACGGUGUAUUGUAAUGUAAUUCUUCAACAAUUUGACUGGGUAUAGAUUUUUAGAAGAUAAUUUAUCCCUUUUUUUUAAAAAAAGAAAUUGUUAGUGCAAAUACAAUAUUUUAUCAUUUUUUUUAAAUAAGACAAAAAAAUACUUGACAAUAAUAUUUAUUGAUAGAAAAAAAAUCGAGAUAUUCACUCCUCUUCAUUUCCCGCCUUGGCCUUGGACGGUGGCUGCCAAUGCUUGGUUUAAUCAAACCAGUGACUUGUAUUAUGUCUAUUUAUUCACUAUUUUGUUUAAAAAUAACAAAAUAUUAUAUAAAUCUAUAUAUAAACGAUAUUUUAGAAAAAAUGGUACCAUGAGGUGAUAACUUUAAGAAACACAAUCAUUUAAUAUUUUUUUAUCAUAUAAUCAAUUUAUAUUAACAAUUAAAAAUAACAACGAAAUAAAUCUUCUAUUAAUCGUGAUUUUUAUACAUAUUUUGAUAACGUGAAUCAACGGAUUUUUCUCUUGAUAAAAAUUAAAAAAAUUGUGUUUGUUGUUAAUUCAAUCUAUUUAUUUGACACCAAUUAAUUGAUAAGAAACGAGUAAUGUUAAAAAAAACGAGAUUAAAAGUAUAACAUAGUCGAUUGAAUUGCACACUAGAAUAUGAAUUUUUUCAUAUUCAAUCGAUUGAAAAUAUAACACAAUUAAUUGAAUUUCACAUGAUAAUAUAGAUUUUUUUUAUUCAAUCGAUUAAAAGUGUAACACAAUCGAUUGAAUUGGACAAUUAAAAAUAUAACACAAUCAAUUGAAUUUUGCACGGAAAUAUAAAAUUUUUUUAUUCAAUUAAUUAGAAGGAUAACACAAUUAAUUGAAUUGAGUAUUGCGCUAUAUAUCAUGCCUUCCUUUUUUUGAACAGCCUUCCUUAUUUUUAACAAAAGUUUCCAUUUUUACAUGACUUCUUUUCUCUCUCUAAAACUAAAAAACUUCUCUCUUCAUAGUAUGUGUUAUUAUAUCUUUAGAGACAUGCGAAUUAAUAUGUACAAAUAAACGAAGUUUAAAAAAUAUUUUGUUAGCAUUACUAAUGUAUUAAUAACAGGUAUGAUAAAAAAUUUUGUCAUUAUCAAAAUAGAUGUCCAAGUGAUAGAUUGUGCAAUUUUCAACAGAAAUUAUCAUUAGAUAUCAGUGUUUAUUCUCUUAAAUGAGAACAUAUAUAUAAACCAUAAAAUUGUAAUAUAAAUGUUAUAUAUGUUGUUAAGGAAAAAUUAUAUAUACCAAAGAAUAGACAAAAAAAAAACUUACAAAUUUUAAAUUAGUAGUGGGUUGCAUAAGUUUAUAAAUAUAGUAUUGCAUCUUGUUUAAAUCUAUCUUAGACAUUUACCUACAAACACUAAUAGAUUUAUAUAACUGUUAGAUAUUAAUUGGUACUAAAUUUUAAUAUUAAAAUAACCAUCUGUACACUAGUAAAAUAAACAUCCGAUAUAUCUAUUGUUUACCUUGUUUAAUAUUUUCAUUGUUCACCUAUACUUUUCCAUUCCAUAAACAUUAAACAAUGCAUCUAACCGGAGAAUUAGGCAUCAGCAAGAAAAGAGAAGAACUGAAGCCGUGCAUGCGUGGUCCCCGUUGUGAAGAAAUCGCAGAUAAAUGCUUAGCUGUACAUGGAGACAAGGUUGCUCUCUUUGUAUGCUUAUCAUGUUAUAGAGAUGCUUUGCGAGGUGUAACAAAGGAAGGGUGCCAUAGCCAUGCAUGCUGAAGAGUGUCCCAAAUGCUCAGUGUACCAACUCACUUUCUCCGACGUGUCCCUUCCUUCACCCUCCUCUCGCCCCCUAUAAAUCACCUCGCUUCUCAUUCUCCUUCAUCACAACCACAGCAAUAACAAUAAUAGCAGCCAUGGCUAAGCUUCUUGAGCUUUCUUUUUGCUUUUGCUUUCUAGUUCUGGGAGCUAGCAGCAUCUCCUUCAGGCAGCAGCCGGAGGAGAAUGCGUGCCAGUUCCAGCGCCUCAAUGCGCAGAGACCUGACAACCGCAUUGAAUCGGAGGGCGGUUACAUUGAGACUUGGAACCCCAACAACCAGGAGUUCGAAUGCGCCGGCGUCGCCCUCUCUCGCUUAGUCCUCCGCCGCAACGCCCUUCGUAGGCCUUUCUACUCCAAUGCUCCCCAGGAGAUCUUCAUCCAGCAAGGUUAUUAGUUAUUACUACUUUUUCAUAUUGUUAUUGUCAAUGAUUGAAUUUAAUUAUUUGACGGUAAAAAUAAUUUUGUACACUCACUAAACGUACUAACAUUUUACAACAAUUUACGAUUGAGACACAAAAAAAAAAGGCAUAUCUGUAUUUGAGAAUUUUAUUUUUUUUCCAUGAUCUUUGUUUGUUAAUUUCAUUUUGAAUGAACACAUACAGGAAGGGGAUACUUUGGGUUGAUAUUCCCUGGUUGUCCUAGCACAUAUGAAGAGCCUGCACAACAAGGACGCCGAUAUCAGUCCCAAAGACCACCAAGACGUUUGCAAGAAGAAGACCAAAGCCAACAGCAACAAGAUAGUCACCAGAAGGUGCACCGUUUCAAUGAGGGUGAUCUCAUUGCAGUUCCCACCGGUGUUGCUUUCUGGCUGUACAACGACCACGACACUGAUGUUGUUGCUGUUUCUCUUACUGACACCAACAACAACGACAACCAGCUUGAUCAGUUCCCCAGGGUAUAUAUAUGCUCAAAUCUCAUUCGUUAUUUUUGGCAUGUGCAUAUAUCAUGAAUAUUGAGUAUUAGUCUAUUAUUAUUUCUUAUGAAUUCUCAUCAAUAAACCAUGCCACAUUUAUAUAUAAAUGAUCCGUGACAAUUAAUAAUACAUAACAGAGAUUCAAUUUGGCUGGGAACCACGAGCAAGAGUUCUUAAGAUACCAGCAACAAAGCAGACAAAGCAGACGAAGAAGCUUACCAUUAAGCCCAUACAGCCCUCAGCCUGGACAAGAAGACCGUGAAUUUAGCCCUCAAGGACAGCACGGCCGCAGAGAACGAGCAGGACAAGAACAAGAAAACGAAGGUGGAAACAUCUUCAGCGGCUUCACGUCGGAGUUCCUGGCACAAGCCUUCCAGGUUGACGACAGACAGAUAGUGCAAAAUCUAAGAGGCGAGAACGAGAGUGAAGAACAGGGAGCCAUUGUGACAGUGAAGGGAGGCCUCAGAAUCUUGAGCCCAGAUAGAAAGAGUCCCGACGAAGAAGAGGAAUACGAUGAAGACGAAUAUGCUGAAGAGGAGAGGCAACAAGAUAGAAGGCGUGGCAGGGGAAGCAGAGGCAGCGGCAAUGGCAUUGAGGAGACCAUCUGCACCGCAACUGUUAAAAAGAACAUUGGUAGAAACAGAUCCCCUGACAUCUACAACCCUCAAGCUGGUUCACUCAAAACUGCCAACGAGCUCAACCUUCUAAUCCUUAGGUGGCUUGGACUUAGUGCUGAAUAUGGAAAUCUCUACAGGGUUUGUACUUUCUCUUUUUCUAUCUAUUUUUUUAGCAUACUACACUAUUAACAAAAUUUAUCAUUGUUAGUAAGAUUUGGCUAAUACCUUAAACAUUAAGUAUUAAAUUCUAAAUUUUAAAUACUAAAUACUAAUGGUAUAAGAAUAUAAUGUUACUUAACUAUCGAUUAAUAUCGAUAAAAAGUAUUGAUACUGAUAUUUUUCUUUUCUUGUAGUGUUACAUUAGGCAUUCGAUUUGGUUAUCUAUUUACCCAUUGAAAUGUGAUUGCAGAAUGCAUUGUUUGUCCCUCACUACAACACGAACGCACACAGCAUCAUAUAUGCAUUGAGGGGACGGGCUCAUGUGCAAGUGGUGGACAGCAACGGCAACAGAGUGUACGACGAGGAGCUUCAAGAGGGUCACGUUCUUGUGGUGCCACAGAACUUCGCCGUGGCUGGGAAGUCCCAGAGCGAGAACUUCGAAUACGUGGCAUUCAAGACAGACUCAAGGCCCAGCAUAGCCAACCUCGCCGGUGAAAACUCCUUCAUAGAUAACCUGCCGGAGGAGGUGGUUGCAAAUUCAUAUGGCCUCCCAAGGGAGCAGGCAAGGCAGCUUAAGAACAACAACCCCUUCAAGUUCUUCGUUCCACCUUUUCAGCAGUCUCCGAGGGCUGUGGCUUAAAAACGACCAGUAUCUUUUGCAAGCGUGUUAUCCACUACAUACUUUUUGCCACAAAUGAAUAAUAUAAUAAUAAGAAGAAUAAUGUAGUUUUAAUUUUUAGUAUGAAUAAGAAUACAAAGGGGCAUUGAUGCCUUUUUGUUUAAGAUCGGAAUGUAACAUAUGUGCAAUGAGCAGAUAUGGAGAAAACCUUUUGCGGGAAAAACAUGAAUAAUAAAAGAAGUUAUGGUCUCACGCACGCCACAUUUGUCUUUGUAUCCCCCUUUCUUUGUGAUAAAACAAACUUGAAAAGAAUAUCAACAACACAGCAUGCUCUAACAUUUUGAUGUAACUCCGAAAAUCCGAGUAAUUGUUGAGGGUGAGCUAUAAUGAGCUAGGAUUUCUAUUCAAGCACUAUAAGAUCGUGACAAUUCAAUUUUGACAUGCAUGGUAUAUAUAGCUUGCUUAUGAUCAUUGAUGACUUGCUCAUGUAAAUCCAAUUUUUACAAUUUAGAUGGCGAGUUCCUAAAGCCUCGUGAAGUAGUUUAAGUGUUUGACUAUCUCAUCAACAUAUAACUGAGCGUAUUGAUGAGUCGUAAAAACACUUUUUACUGGAAGAAAGUGUGACACUUGGUUAUUUGGUUCACUAUGAUCCAUAUUUUGAUGGUAUGAGCUAGUCUUGUCACAAAAUCUAUGGUGAUUCUUUUCCAUUUCCAUUUUAGUAUCUCGAUUUGCUGGAGUAAAUCCGCAGGCUUUUAAUGUUCAACUUUGAUUUGUUGGCACACUAAGUAUCGUGAUAUAAAGUCACCAAUGUCCCUUUUUAUGCCUUCUCACCAGAAUAACUGUCGCAAAUCCUAAUGUUUUAAUAGAACCAGGAUGUAUAAAAUAGCGAGAGUUAUGAGUUUCCACCAAGAUUGUUUUUCGAAGAUUUUCAAUGUUUGGUACAUACAAUCGUUUACCAAAACGAAGAAUUCCUUCUUGGUCCAAUGUGAAGGUAGAGUUAAUUCCGCUCUUAACAUCACCAAAAAGUUUAAGCAGUUUUAAAUCUUCUUUUUAGAGGGUUUUAAUUCUUUUGAUGAGGGAUGACUGAGCAUUCACAUGAGUAAGAAAAAUUCCAGAUCUUCUAAGUUUGAACAGUAUUCCUUUAACCUCGAGCUGAUGAAUUUCUCCAAUCAGUGGUCUUUAAGCAGCUACGAUGAUAUCAGCUUUUCAUAGGUGAUAAAGGAUUGUACAAUCAUAAUCUUUAAGCAGCUCUAUCCAUCUUCAUUGCCUCAGAUUUAAAUUUUUUUGUUGAAAUAUAUAGUUUAAAUUUUUGUAAUCCGUAUAGAUUUCGCAUGUCUCAUCAUAAACAUAUAGUGUAUUGGAUAGUUUUACUUGCGUUUUUUGAGUUGGCAUGAGACAUGAGCAAUAAUUCGACCAUGUUACGCUAACACACAUUCCAACUCAAAUCGAGAUGCAUCACAGAAGAUGGAGAAACCCGUCCCAGAAGGUGGAACAAGAACGGGUGCUAAAAUGAGGUAAGUAUUGAGCAUCUGGAAGCUAUCAUCACAAGCAUCUGUCCACUAAAAUUUGACAUUCUUUUGGGUUAACUUAGUUAAUGGUGAUGAGAUUUUUAAAAUUUUUUUAUGGAUUGUCAAUAAUAUCUUGCUCGACUAAGAAAACUACGAAUUUCAGUCACAGAAAUUGGUCUUGGCCAUUUUUUAAUGGCUUCAACUUUUUUCGAAUAUAUCAUAAUUUCAUCUUUCGACACCACAUGUCCUAAAAAUACCACUUGAUCUAACCAAAAUUCACACUUAGAGAAUUUGGCAUAAAAUUGGUGCUCUAGAAGGGUUUUCAAUACUCUCCUUAGAUGAUAUUCAUGCUCUUUCACACUUUUGAAGUAUACUAAGAUGUCAUAUAUAAACACAAUGACAAAGUGAUUUAAGAAGGGUUUGAACACUCGAUUCAUUAGGUUCAUAAAAUUAUAAAAAGGUUGCAGGAGUAUUCGUUAAUGCAAAUGACAUUACAAUAAACUCAUAAUGUCCAUAGCAAAUACAAAAAGCGGUUUUGGGAGAUAUCUUCCUGCUUGAUUUUCAAUUGAUGUUACUCCAAAUGUAAAUCGAUCAAAUCAUUGAUUCUAGACAAUGGAUACUUGUUGUGAAUGGUCACUCUAUUAAGUUGUCGAUAAUCUAUACAUAGGUGUAUUGAUCUAUCUUUCUUCUUUAUGAAGAGAACAAGGGCUCCCAAAGAAGAUACGUUAGGACAAAUGAACCCUUUAUUCAACAUAUCUAUAGCUUGGUCUUUUAAUUCUCGCAGCUCUCUUGGUUCCAUACAAUAAAGAGGAAUUGAUAUGCGAUGAGCUUCCGGGAUUAAGUUUAUGGAGAAUUGAAUUUUUCCAUCAGGUGGUAUGCCUGGUAAGUCAUCAGAAAAUACAUCUGAAAAUUUCUUCACCACAGAAAUAUGACCAAUGCUACGCAUCAUGGAUUCAAUGUUUCUAACUACCGCAAGAAACCAUGACACCCUUUGUUUAUCAGGUUCAUGACUUUUUUUUAGAGGAGAGAUGAGUUUGUUUGGGGUCAAGUAUCCAUCACCUUUAAAAGUAAAAGGUAGAAUAUCUAGAACAUUAAACUUCAUUAUUUUAGAAUAAUAAAUCACGUUAACAUGAUAAGCUGCUAGCCAAUCCAUACCUCAAAUGACAUCAAUGUCUUCCAUCGGAUCUAGAAGAAUUAGGUUAUAUUAGCCAAGGUGUCCACAGAGUUUAUAGUAACGAAACAAGAUUGAAACACAAAUUGAACCAUAGUGAAAACUGAGCGGAGUAUCGACUUGGAAGGGGUUGUCUAAUAACACAAGUUGCAUGUUGAAAUGGUUUGCUAGAGUUGGGAAAACAAAUGAAUAAUAAGAACUCGUAUCAAAUAGCACUUGAGCAUCCAAAGAGAAAACUUGUAAAAUAAAGUACCUAUUACAACUGCAUUUGAAGCCUGUGCAUCUUGGUGAAUUAAGGUAUAUACACGUGCUUGUCCUCUACCUCUCUAAUUUGUUCCUUUGCCCCCAGGAUUUCACCCUCCUAUCCCUCUACCUUGGCUAGCAAAGUUUCCAAGAAACGUAGUUGAGUAUGAAGGUGAAGGUGAUGGUGUCGUAGAAUAUGCAUGACCUUAAAUAAUUCCUCCCUGGAACUUGGACUAUCCUUCCUUAGGUGACCAGUUUGAUUGCAUCCAAAAUAUGCACCAAUGGCCUUGAAGCAUACUCCAGAAUGAGGAUGUCCACAUUGUUGGCAGUAUGGUUUGCCAUGCAUAGAUUAAUCACCAGAUUGAUAGGUCCCUCCAGUGAAACUCUUUGAGCCUGAGAGGCUUGUUAGAGGGGUACAGACGGCGCAGCUUCAAUAAUGGGUGCUUGUUGAUUGUCUUGAUGACCUUUAUAACUUGGUCCUCGUCUGAAAUUAAAACCACUAAAGAGCUGUCUUUUUGUCUUAAGCUUCUUAUCUGCUUGUUUAGGAGUGAUUCUUUCACUAUUUAUAACCUCAAUUGCAUAGGUAGAAUCUAGGAUUUUAUUGAAGUUCAUUUGCCAAAUCUCUGGCACUCGAGUAAUAUACAUGGGUUCUUCCAGGCCUCUCACGAACCUACGAACUCUAAUUUCUUCAGAAGGUAUUAAAUAAGAAGCGUUCUUGGAAAGCCUGAAAAUUCUUUAGCAUACUCUGUCACAGUCAUGCUUCGUUGCCUUAAUCUCUCUAUUGCAAUGGCAUCCUCUGCUUGCUUGCUAGCAGGGUGAAAUCUUUCAAUAAAUUUCUUAAUGAAUUCUUCCCAUAUAAGAGUAGGCAGCCCAGUUGCUUCCUUACUUUCAAUAAGGGUCUUGUACCAAUAUCUAGUUAUCACUUGAAGGUUAUAUGAUACUAGCUCAAUAGCGUAAUCUUUUUUGCAUCUAAGGGCUCACAGGAUUUUUCUCACAUCUUCAAGGUAUUGUUGAGGAUCCUCAUCCAGGAAAUCUCCUUUGAAAGUGGAUGAGUUAAUAUUUAGGUAUUGUUUGAAGGUAGGUUUCUUAUCUCUAAAAAUAAAAGGAAACAUUCAUGGAGAAAAAGUUAAGGUGGGUUUGUGUUUGCACACUGCCGUUAGCUCGGUUUGCCAAAAAUUCAACUACAACACACAGAUUAUCAUUAACUGUUCUAAGUUUUGCUACCAAGCUUGCAGGUGUUUCUCUAUUUACUAGAUUUUCUUGUAUUUCUUAUGGAACUAUAUCGGCUUGAGUUAUAUUUUCCAAGUGUUCGUCUUCUUGAAGUACUUUUCAUGUCCUUCUACUGGCUAUUCUUUGACUCGUCCUAGCAUUCGCUCUUGUAAGGGUGAGAGAUUAGUCCUAUUAGAUGUUGUAGUGUUAGGAGCAUGAAUGGCUCCACCAUGCAAUUUAGGUGGCAUCUUUUCACCUAGUAAGCAAAGAAUGUGGUCACAUAAUAUCCAAAGAAAGGACAAGAAUUUUAUCGAAGACACAGAUAUAAGUUUAACUUCCUACAGGCUUUUGGUAACAUCACACUUGUGAAAAUGGGUUAACAACCAUUUGCACAAUCGUAAACUUAUUAAAAGACAUUUGCUCCAUAUUACACAAGAAAAUCUAAACUCUAAUACCAACUUUGUCACAGCCGAAUUUAAGUAGUAACCGGCAAUAAAAAAAAGUUUUCUAAUAAGCCUAUUAAUUGCAUAAUUCUUAAAUGAAUAAUUUAAAUCUGCAUCUAUUAUAUAUCACAAAUACGAGUUUAUAUAUACAAAUAUAUAAUACUAUCAAACAUUAAAGAUAUUGCCUGUAAUAUAUGAAAUAUUAACUAAGAAAUUCAAGGUGUAGUAUAAAUGACAAGGCCCUUGGAAGACAAGGACUCACCAAAAAGCCGAUUUCUACCGAGGGAUAGAAGGAUUAGGACUCUAAUCUAUAUUUAUAUUUAAAAAACAUAUAAUAUUCAAGAAACAUAUAAAAAAAUUUAAAUAAAAUAUUUUGUAACAAAUUAAAAUAUUCUAUAUUAUGUAAUAAAUAUAAAAAUGAAUAAAAUUAUUUAUAUUUAAAUAACCAAAUAAUUAUUAUUGAUGAGUAUUUUAGUCAAAUUGAUUAAAUAAUAUGUUAUUUUACUCUUACAAAAGAGAAAUAUAUUCUGUUCCAAGGUAUUAUUUGAAACUAAGGUGGAUUUGGGUUUGAACGUGAGAUUUAAACGCCUUUGAGUGAGUUCUGACUUAUUUGCUAGGAUGGUGGUUCAAGGUUAUCAAACUCACGAAUCUAAGUAAACUCGUGGAAUUGACUUAGACUUGACUUGUAGACUCGUUCGAGUUUACUUGUUAUGAAUUCUUAUACAUACAUACAUACAUACAUACAUACAUACAUACAUACAUACAUACAUACAUACAUACAUACAUACAUACAUACAUANGGAAUGGUGGUCAAGAAUGGCUAAGAAUUGACUUGCCUAUGAUAAGAGGACAGGUGACGACACAGUAGGUGUAAGACCCGGUUAAUUAACGGCUAAUUAACCUAUAAAUGAGAAUUUAUUCUAGAAAGGAAAAAAUGUUAUUUUUUAUGGCUAAAUGUGAUAGAGGAGAUUGAGACGAGAAUUUCGGUACCAAUUUUAUAGAAAACGGACCAAGAUUGGACCAAACGGGCCAAACCGGACCAACCCUAGUUUUCAGCACUCUCUCUCCUCACAACACACUCAAACAUGCUGAAAUGGUGGAGAGGAAGGGAAGAAAACUCUCUCAACUUCUUUCUCUCACUUGAUCUUCAAACCACCAUAACUUUUGAUCUAGAGCUCCGAUUGUCGCACCGUUUGCGGCCACGCGUUCACCGCAGAGAGCUCUACAAAACCCAUACAAUCAAUCUUGAGGUAAGCUACGUUUUGCUUUUCGAAUUUCCAGCCUUGUUUUCGAGUUUCAUGAGCAAAAAUGUUGAGAUUUUGGGCUCUUUGAUGUUAUAGGACCCAACUCUCUUGAAGGAGAAGAUUAAUCUUGUCUCCUUGGACCUUGAGUAAGGUAAGAUAUCUCAAACCCUAGUGAGAAUGUUGAACUUGUGGUUGUGGGUGUUGAGCUCUUGUGUUUUGGUAUGAUGAUUGUGGCUUAGGUUGUGUAUAUGUGAAUAUUGGAGCUUGAUUGGUGAUUUUGGAAAGCUUGGGAGAGGGUUUUGUGUGACAAAAUCUAUUCUUGGAGGUGUUGAGACCUUGAGAGCUUGAGGAAAAGUGGUUUGGAAGUGCUCUGGUUGAGCUUGGGAAAUCGGCUAAGGUAUGGUUUCGGUUUCCCAUAUCUAUUAUGUAAUGUGGUAGGAAAUACUUAGGCUAGAGGCCCUAAGAUAGGCAUUGAAUUGUUGGUGUUGUUGAAUGGUUGAGAUAUAUGAUGUGUUCAUAUAUGUGAUUAUGAAUAUUGAUGCCUUGAUUGUGUGAUAUAUGAGAAAUGCAUGUUGUGAUAUAUGCUUGAUGGAUGAUUGAGGUUGAAUUGAUGGGUGGUACCAUGUUGAUGGUGAGUAUGAUGUUGAUCAUGUAUAAUGAUGGUUGAUUGGAAAUGGUAUUAUUGGAAAUUGAGAUGAGGAAGGAUGUAUGACAUGAUAUUGUGUUUGUCCUUUAGCCAUUGGAUUGAGAAGUGUUAAAAUGGUUGGAUGUGAUUUUGGGAAUUUUGGUAAAAUAUCAAUGUGUGAGUUGAGGAUGGCUUGAUGUUGAUUUUGGUACAUUUUGAUUGAUUUCAAAGAAAAGGGAUGAAAUUGGCAUGUUUUGAUUGAUUUCGAAAAGAGUUGAAAGUGGCUUGUUUUGAAAAUGGCACUUUAUGGUUUUGUAUGAAAACAUGAUUUUUGGGUAUACUUUGACGGGACAUAACCUGGACUGCGGAUCUCUGUUUUCUGCCAAAUCUAUUUAGAAAUGGAAUUGGAUCCGGGAUGUCCAUGCCGUUCGAAGAACGGGUAAAAAACGAUUUAAAAUGAGAAAGUUAUAUCCGUCAGAAGAUUGGGGGUUGAAUCUGUGAAUUCUGCAGCUUUUAACUUAGAAAAUUUUUAGCAGAAUAACCCCCCGUGCGUUGGCACACUUGGCGCGUACGCAUCGUUCUUCGAGAAAACACCAUCCACGCGUGCGCGUGGUGUGCAUGGGCGCGUCGAUGCGCUGCACCAAAUGCCCAGCCAUUUUCCCGAGAGUUGUGCCAAAGUUGUGCCAGUUUUAUGCCUGGGGCGCAAGAGCACCCACGUGUAUGCGUGGCUGACGCGUGCGCGUCGUUUGGCUAAUUUUCAAUCCGCGCGUUCGCGCGUAUGACACUUGCGCGUCAAUGAGUUUUAAGGCCAUCCACGCGGGCGGGUGGAGUGCGCGUACGCGUGGCCCUAUUUUCAUCCCAAAGUUGAUUUUUGAGUUUUAAAAGCCAAAUUUCAUACUUCUAAGCCUCCAAUCUCACCACUUAUGUCUUAAAUCAUUAUGAUAUGCCUAGCUAUGAGAUAAGGGGCUAGUGAAUGUGGUAACUUGCAAGUGAAGCAAGGGAAAAAUGAAUGAUCAAUGAAGAUCAAAGAUGAUUAUGUAAGAUGUGGAGGAUGGCGGUGGAAGUGCUUGUUAUGCCAUGGGCCGAAGGGCCGUAAUUGUAAAUAAAUUGGCUGGUUAUGGAUUUAACCGUGAGCCGGAUGGCUAGAUUAUCGUCGUGUUACGGCAGAGCCAUGUUUAUGGCUAAGUAUAAAUGCAUAUAUGCUGUUGAAUGAAUUGUGAAUGUUUGCACUUCCACUAUCAGAGAUGAGGGUUUCCCUGGGAGGAAGCAGUGGCUAGCCCCCACGUGCCCCAGGUUGAGACUCGAAGCUUUGUUGACCCUAUGUCGUAAGUGUGGCCGGGCAUUGUGAAAGUCCCGGAUGAGCUCGCCCCCGUAAAUAUUCACCGGUGAGGGUGAUGGAUAUGGAUCAUGAUUAUGAUCAAGUUUAUGAUGAGUAUAACUCGAGUUGGGGAUGCGCGACAGAGGGACAGUCCAAGGUUAGCUACCAGGACUUGUCGGGUUGGCUCUAUAACCGACAGAUGAUAUCAUCAGCCACUAGGGACAGGCAUUCAUCAUAUGCAUACUAUGUGAAUUGUUUGAGAUUGCCUAUUUGACUGCAUAUUACUUGCUAUUUGUCUAAAUGCCUUAAUUGUUCUUACUUGUAUAUCUCUUGUCUGAUAUAACUGUGUUUGCUAUAUUAUACUCCUGCUGGUGGUUGGGAGGUCUAAAGGAAUUGGAAAGGGAAGUAUUAGUUAGACUGAAGAAUCUUUAGUUAGUUGCCACUUACGGUUUAGCUUGUUUAUAAGCUUUGAUAUUAUCUGGAGGAAGUUCUAGGAUUGCCUUCAGCUUUCCUCUAUUAUUAUGUAUUAUAUAUGUGGAAGCUGUUACCAUGCUAGGGACCUCUGGUUCUCACCCAUGUGGAUUUUGUGAUUUUCAGAUGCAGGACGCGAGGCUUCUCGUUGAGGCAUGCCGGAGACUUCUGGAUUAGCGAAGAUCCUUUGUUUUCGGGACUCUGUUUUGGGUUAUAUAUUUUGUUUAGAUACUUUUAUCUCCAUUAAAUAAUACAAACUGUGAUGACUCCUCUUAUAGGAGGUUUUGGAGAAUAGGUUUCUGUAUUUGUGUCCCUUUGGGUUUUCUUUGGGGUUUUCCUUAUUUUAUUAUAUGUAUAUAUUGUUAUGCUCGGACCGGUUAUCUUCGCAGCCGGAUUUUGAGUCUUGAUAUUCCUGUUUUUGACACUCCCUUGUAUAUAUAAUAUCUCGUGUUAGCUUAUCCUUUGCUCGUUACGUUAUCGAUCGGAGUGUUGCGCGUUCGAGUUACGAUUUUUGUUUACCCCUUUUUCUACAAAGGCUCCUAGUUAUAAUUAAUUAUUCAUACUACUAUACGUACUAAAUUUUUGUUUUAGAGGUCGUAAUACCUUGCCAUAUCUGAAUUAUGACUUAAGCAUAAGUCUCUGUAUGGUAGGGUGUUACAUUAUGGUAUCAGAGCAGUUCGUUCCUGUAGAGCCUGAGGAAUGGACUGACUAUACUUCUGUGCAUUCUCUGUGUGUGUGUUAUGUGCUACUAGUAUAUCUGCUUGAUAUAAUUGGCAUAAACGUUCAUGAGCAUGCAUUUGGGACUUUGAAGCACUAGACUUCCGAUAUUGAGACUGAUCAACUUAAUAUCGAUUGUUUGGUGUGUAUAGGGACCAGAUGACGCCUCGUGUACGCGGUAGAGGUCGUGGGAGAGGUCGUACUAAUGCUCGUGCGCCGGAGACUAACCCUAAUGAUCCGGUGAACUUUAUGACUGCGUUGGAGAACAUGGCUGCUGCUAUGCAAGCCACUGCUGAGGCUCUGGGCCAACAGAUGAACAACCAUGGUAAUGACGGAGGUGGAGUUCAGGGCCCGAUGACACUGGAAAACUUUUUGAAGGUUAAUCCCCCGAAGUUCAAGGGAACUACUAGCCCGACUGAGGCCGAUACAUGGUUUCAGGCCAUGGAAUGAGCACUGCAAGCGCAGGUGGUACCUGAAGGGCAGCGUGUAGAGUUCGCUACCUAUUUGCUCACUGGGGAAGCGUCGCAUUAGUGGCAAGGAAUCCGACGCCUCCUGCAGCAGGGUGAUGAUUAUAUCACCUGGGACGUCUUCCAAGAGGAGUUCUAUAAGAAGUACUUUCCGACUUCUGCUAGGACGGCCAAUGAGCUUGAAUUGUUGCAGCUGAAGUAGGGUACUAUGUCCGUAUCUGAGUAUAUGGUGCGGUAUUUUACAACCACACUUACUAACCAGCAAGUGCACCGGGUCGUACCAAGUAAUACCUUACGUGAGUAAGGGUCGAUCCCACGAGGAUUGAUGGACUAAGCAACAAUAGUGUUUGAUAGGCUUAGUUAGACAAACAAAAAUUGGUGUUGAGAUGCAGUAUAAAAGAGAUUAAACAAUAUAAAAAAUAUUGAAGAAAGGCAAGUAAUUAAGUUGAGAGUAAUAUAUGGAGAAGGCAGUUAAGGCUUCAGAGUUAUCUAUUUUCUGGAUUGACUUUUCUUAUUAACUAUUUUAAUUACGCAAGAUUUAAUUCAUGGCAAACUAUUUAUGACUAGACCCUAAUUCCUUAGACCUUCCUAGUCUCCUCUAAAAUUUAUCAACUGCCAAUUCCUUGGUCAAUUAGCUUCUAAUCUAUGAUUUCUGGGCUAAGAACUGGGUCAAAACGGCCCAGAAAUUGCCCCCAGUGUUUUUCUACAUUUUCUGCACGUGGCGCAUGUGACGCGUUCGCGUCGUCCACGCGUUCGCGUCAUUUGUGCAGAUUCCAGUCCACGCGUUUGCGUCAGGCACGCGAUCGCGUCAUUGCGAUUUCCUCCAUUCCGCGCGGUCGCGUGAGCCAUGCGUCCGCGUCGGUAUUCGUUGGUCAUCUCCUUGGCUUCUUCUCUUUCUCUGCAGAAACUCCAUCAAAUUCUGCCAAAUGCUCCCUAAAAUAAACAGUAUUGUACAAAAUUCAAAAUAGCAUCCAUAGUGGCUAAAAUAUAAUUAAUUCUUAAUUAAACUCAACAAAUUAACUGCAAAUUCACUAGGAAAAGAUAGACAAGAUGCUCACGCAUCACAACACCAAACUUAAACUGUUGCUUGUCCUCAAGCAACCAAAACUAAUAUAAGCUUAGGAUGUGAAUUUGCAUGAGAAUGAGAGUUCGAUUAAGCCCAUGUCUUCUCUUAUAGUGGGGUUUACAACUGCAAUCCUGAACAAUUUUGGCAUCUCACUUUAUCCUUUGAAGUUUAGGAUGAUUGGCAUCCAUAGGAACUCAGAAUUCAGAUAGUGUUAUUGAUUUUCCUAGUUCAGUAUGUUGAUUCUUGAACACAGCUACUUUAUGAGUCUUGGCUGUGACCCUAAGCAUUUUGUUUUCCAGUAUUACCACCGGAUACAUAAAUGCCACAGACACAUAACUGGGUGAACCUUUUCAGAUUGUGACUUAGCUUUGCUAGAGUCCCCAGUUAGAGGUGCCCAGAGUUCUUAAGCACACUCUUUUUGCUUUGGAUCACGACUUUAACCGCUCAGUCUCAAGCUUUUCACUUGACACCUUCACGCCACAAGCACAUGGUUAGGGAUAGCUUGAUUUAGCCGCUUAGGCCAGGAUUUUAUUCCUUAGGGCCCUCCUAUCCAUUAAUGCUCAAAGUCUUGGAUCCUUUUUACCCCUUGCCUUUUAGUUUAAAGGGUUAUUGGCUUUUUCUGCUUGCUUUUUUUUUUUCUCUCUUUUUUUCCGCAAGCUUUGUGUUUUUCACUGCUUUUUCUUGCUUCAAGAAUCAAUCUUAUGAUUUUUCAGAUUAUCAAUAACAUUUUUCUUUUUUAUCAUUCUUUCAAGAGCCAACAAUUUUAACAUUCAUAAACUUCACUAUCAAAAAAUAUGCACUGUUUAUGUCAUGCAUUCAGAAUCACAAAAAAUACCACCACAUUUAAGUAAAUCAGACUAUUUUUUAAAAUUAACUCAAUUUCUCAUGCACUACACUUCUUUUUCUUUUCUUUUUAGGUUCAAGUUCAGUGAGUGGUAUAUGAAACAUCUUUUCAGCAUUAAAGCAAUUAAAUGAAAACUAAACUAGUCCUAGGAUUCUAACUAAUAAAGGAUCAUGCAACAAACAAAGAAAAAUAACAGGAAACUGGAACAUAAUAUAGAAAAAGAGGGGAGGAAUAAAAAAUGAAAGGAACUCAACCACCUUAAUUAUCCUAGCGGUCGCUUUAUUCUUCAGGUUGUGCUCCUUCGCGAAGAUGAUUCGCCUCCCUUUUGUACUAGAAAACCUGUAAGCGCGGCGUCAACACCAAACUUAAGGGUUUGCUUGUCCUCAAGCAAAGAAGAACUGAAAAUAGAAAAGAUAAAUAUUAAAAUGAAAAAAAAAAGAAAAAAAAUAAAUAAAUAAAAGGAUAAGAGAAUAAGAGAGAAGUAGGAUUGGGAGAGAGAGAGAAAGAAAACUGGGCGGCACAAGCGACGCGACCGCGUAGGGCAUGCGGUCGCGCGCAUUGCUCUUAUACGGAUUGACGCGAUCGCGUCGGUCACGCGGUCGCGUGACCCAGUUUGUGCUUCUGGCGCGAGUGCAGCCUCGCGCCAGCACAACUCUCUGUUUGAAUUGAUAUAAUUGCCAAAAUUGGGGUGACGCGAUCGCAUGGGGCAUGCGAUCGCGCGAGUGGGCAUUUAAUGGGGUACGACGCGGCCGCGUGGGGCAUGCGGUCGCGUGAAGGGAAUUGCGUGUCCAGCGCCAGUCCAGCACCACUCUAGCACAACUUUCAGCUGUGCACCCGUUUUACGUCAAAAAUCAGGGCACGCGGCCGCGUGGGUCACGCGGUCGCGUGGGAGGCCAUUACGCCCAUACGACGCGGAUGCGUCGGCGACGCGGUCGCGUGGGAUGAAUUGUGCCAUUGGCACGCCUCCAGCCACGCUCCAACGUGACUCUCUGUUCGUUUUUAUUUUUCUCUUCUCCCCUUGCGACGCGGACGCGUCGCUGAUGCGGUCGCAUCGCGUAGCUUUUUUUUUUUUUUUGAAAUAUAGCUUGAGGUGUUCGGUUCCUGGAAGAACAUAGCUGCAUGAUCAGAAAAUUAGUGAGAACUUAAUAAAAAAUAAAAUAAAAUAACUAAGAAAAAUACUACUACGAAAAAAUAAUAGCUAAGGAUACGAAAUUAUCGGGUUGCCUCCCGACAAGCGCUUCUUUAUCGUCAUUAGCUUGAUGGUCAGCUCCUCUAAGGAGGAGGAUCAUAGGGGCUCAGCUCUUUGAACUUUUUUCCUGUGUCUCCAUAACGUAGCUCAAUAUGCUCCAGAGAGAGGAUUCUGAUUACUGUAUAAACCCAUGCUGGAUUGCUGGUCAACACCACCUUCAUUCCUGGGGAGAAACCUUCAGUGGGGAUCUUUUUGUUUCUCCAUCCUCUGGGUAUUUUUUUCUUUUUGGGGACCUCCUCCUUGGUGGAUGAUGCAGUUCCAACACCAAACUUUGGUUUGAUGUCAGGCGGAAUUUUAUCGGUUGUCACCACAGGAGGUUUGAGUUGCAAAUUCUGCUGUGCAUCAUCAGGGAGUUCUUGAAGGUUUGGAUCAAUGAGUUCAGCCUGCAUGCACCUCUCUUCUUCACCUGUUGAAUGUACAUCUUUGAAGACAUGAAAGACCAGUUGCUCAUUAUGCACUCUAAGCACUAAUUCACCCACUUCUACAUCAAUCAGAGCUCUUCCAGUGGCUAGGAAUGGUCUUCCUAGAAUUAUAGAGGCAUUCUCAUCCUCCCCUGUAUCAAGAAUCAUAAAAUCUGCUGGGAGAAAGAACUUACCCACUUUGACCAAGAUAUUCUCCACUAAUCCGUAUGCAGGCUUCAUAGAUUUGUCUGCCAUCUGUAAUGCUAUCUUUGUGGGUUGUGCCUCUUGGAUAUGUAGCUUCUUCAUCACAGAUAAGGGCAUUAGAUUUAUGCUUGCCCCUAGAUCACAUAGGGCUUUCUCAAAGGUUGUGCUCCCAAUGGUGCAUGGAAUUUGAAAGCUCCCUGGAUCUGGCAUCUUCCUUGGUAAGUUAUUCUGAAUGACAGCACUACAUUCCUUAGUCAGGACUACUGUCUCAUCUCCCUUUAAACGCUUUUUCUUUGACAACAGCUCCUUCAUGAACUUGACAUAGAUAGGCAUUUGCUCCAAAACCUCAGCAAAAGGAAUAUUGAUUUGUAACUUUCUGAAGAUUUCCAAGAACUUUGAAAACUGCUUGUCCUUGGUCUCCUUUUGAAGUCUCUGAGGAUAUGGCAUCUUAGGCUUGUACUCAGGAGCCUUUGGCUGUGUAGGAUAAGUGUCAAGAGAGUCUGGGAAUGGGUUGUCUGCACGCUUUGGAGGGGCGUGCUCUACUUCUUCCUUCUUCUCAUCUGGAGCUUCUUUUUCAACUACAUCUUUAUUGACCUUGGUCUCAGAGCCAGCUACCUUACCACUUCUCAAUUGAAUAGCCUUGCAAUCUUCUCCUGGGUUCACCACUGUAUCCUCUUGAAAUGUACUUGCAGACCUCUCAAGUAUUUGCUUGCUCAGUUGGCCCACUAGCACCUCUAAGUUUCUAAUAGAGGAUUUGGUUUCUUGUAUAACUUGUGCUUCCGUACUUGCCACUUGUUCACUUAUUACAGUGAUAGCCUUGCAUUCCUCUCUUGGAUUUGGAAUUGUGUUACCAGGAAGGCUGUUAGUGGUCCUCUGAUCAAUUUCAUUAACCUUUGUGGCUAAUUGACCCAUUUGAAUUUCCAGGUUCUUGAUGGAUGCUCUGGUUUCCUGUCUAAAACCUGUCAAUAUUGCUUCUAAAUCAUUGUUCUGCUGGAAACCGCCCUGAGAACUAUUGUUGAAGUUCUGAGGUCUCUGAGGUUGGUCCCUCCACCCAAAGUUUGGGUGAUUUCUCCAUCCCGGGUUGUAUGUCUUAGAAUAUGGAUUAUUGUUGGGAUUCCUAGGACCACUCCCCAUGUAAUUCACCUGUUCAUAAUAAGGUUGAGCAUAAUCAUGAUUAUAAUUUUGAAUAAAAUUACCUGCCAUGUCAUAGGAGAUUUCUUGGGGUGGAUUUUGAGUGUUGAUAGCUGAGACUUGCAUGCCACCCAUCUGUUGAGUAAGUAGAUUUAUCUGUUGAGACAUAAGCUUGUUCUGAGCAAGAAGGGCAUUAAUAGCUUCCACUUCCAAUACGCCUCUCUUCUGAGCGGUCUCAGAGUUCACAGGAUUCCUGUUAGAUGAGUAGAGAUAUUGGUUGCUUGCAACUAAUUCAAUCAGCUCAAUAGUCUCCUCUGGUGUCUUCUUCUUGUGCAAUGAACCGCCUGCAGAGGUAUCUAAGCUCAUCUUUGACAUCUCUCCUAAGCCUUCAUAAAAGAUAUCCAGUUGGGUCCACUUGGAGAACAUGCCAGGAGGGCAUUGCCUAGUCAGUAGCUUGUAUCUCUCCCAAGCUUCAUAAAGAGUUUCACCCUCCUUCUGUCUGAAAGUCUGAACCUCCAACCUAAGCUUAGUCAGCUUCUUUGGUGGGAAAAAUUUAGUGAGAAAUUCAGUAACGACCUUUUCCCAAGUAUUCAGACUCUCCUUUGGUUGGGAGUCUAGCCAUAGCUUUGCUUUAUCCCUCAGAGCAAACAGGAAAAGCAUGAGUCUGUACACCUCUGGAUUCACUCCAUUUGUCUUCACAGUAUCACAUAUCUGCAGAAAAUCAGAAAUAAAUUGAUUUGGAUCUUCAUGAGGAAGUCCAUGAUACUGGCAGUUUUGUUGCACCAGGGUGACCAAUUGUGGCUUCAACUCAAAGUUGUUUGCAGUUAUAGGAGGCACCACAAUGCUUUUUUCAUAGAGAUCCGCAGUAGGGGCAGAAUAAGAGCCAAGCACUCUCUUCUGUUGAUCAUCCCCAUUCGGAUUUACCACAUUGGCAUUAGCAUUAUUAUUUGCCAUGGUGGAUUCUGCAGUCUUGCAAAGUCUUGCUUGUUGUAAACGUCGCCUGAAAGUUCUUUCAGGUUCAGGGUCAAAGUCUAAGAGAUGUUCUUUGUCUCUGUUCCUGCGCAUACACAAGCAGAAAACAAGAAAAAAUGGGACUCUCUACGUCAGAGUGCAGAGAAGUCCCUGUGAUGUAACCUGUGUACAAUAAUAAAAUAAAACUACUAAAUAAAUAAAUAAAUAAAUUCAAAAAUUAAAAAAAAAUAAACAGAAAAAUAAAAUUAACUGGGUAACACCAAACUUAAAUUCAGAAAUAAUUUUUUUUAGACAAAAAUAAAGUAAAACUAAAAAAUUAUAGAAAAUAAAAAAUAUAAUAAAAGAAAAACAAAAUAACACGAAAGUAAAUAAAUAAAAAAAUGGAAUUAAAAAGAAAAAUAAAUAAAGGAAAGAACGACGAGAUUUGAAUAAGAAAAAAAAACGAAAUUAAAAGGAAGUAAGAAAAGAAAAAAAAAAAGAAAACAGGGGAUACGGGAUAUGGGAAAUAUUAACGCAAAGAAAGAAAAAAAUGAAAAAUAAAAUAAAAAAAAAUAAAAAAUAAAAAUACUAAAGGAAUAUAAUUAAAGAAAAAAAAUAUCUAAUCUAAGCAAUCAAAGAACGAGUAGUUGUCAAUCACAGUCAAUUUCCCGGCAACGGCGCCAAAAAUUUGGUGCGGUAUUUUACAACCACACUUACUAACCGGCAAGUGCACUGGGUCGUACCAAGUAAUACCUUACGUGAGUAAGGGUCGAUCCCACGAGGAUUGAUGGACUAAGCAACAAUAGUGUUUGAUAGGCUUAGUUAGACAAACAAAAAUUGGUGUUGAGAUGCAGUAUAAAAGAGAUUAAACAAUAUAAAAAAUAUUGAAGAAAGGCAAGUAAUUAAGUUGGGAGUAAUAUAUGGAGAAGGCAGUUAAGGCUUCAGAGUUAUCUAUUUUCUGGAUUGACUUUUCUUAUUAACUAUUUUAAUUACGCAAGAUUUAAUUCAUAGCAAACUAUUUAUGACUAGACCCUAAUUCCUUAGACCUUUCCUAGUCUUCUCUAAAAUUUAUCAACUGCCAAUUCCUUGGUCAAUUAAUUCCAAUUAGAGGGUGAUGAUCGAAUCCUAGUUUAUAUGCCACAAGAAUCCUAAUUAUUCAAAGAUAAAGGGAUUAUAUGUCACGUAUCCCGUUAAAUACAAACAAUUAGAAAUUCAGGAUAAUAUGUUUUCAAGCUAUUGUUCAAGUAAAGAGCUUUUCCAAGUUUUACAAGAACUCAAAUAGAACAUGGGUCAUACUUCCGUUCCACCCAAAUUCAUAAAGUAAAGAACAAAAACAAUUAUUGAAAUAUAAAUCAAAACAUGAAUUAAAAUAGAAAAAUAAUAUUAUCAAUCCAUACAAUAGACAGAGCUCCUAACCUUAACAGUGGAGGUUUAGUUGCUCAUGGAAAAGAGAAAAUAAGGAUUCAGGUAAGAAUGUACCGCCUUCCAAUCUGAUGGCAUCAGAUCUCUUUUUAUAACUAAUCCUAAUAAAUUUAAAAUCUAAUAUUUAAAAUUAAACUUAAAAUAAUAUCUUUUCCUACUUUAAGAUUUGAAUUUAAAUUUGAAUUAAUUAAUAGAUCUUCAGUUGAUGGGUGGGGACCACUUGAUUUGUCCAUUCUGCAGCUUCUAAUCUGUGAUUUCUGGGCUAAGAACUGGGUCAAAACGGCCCAGAAAUCGCCCCCAGCGUUUUUCUACAUUUUCUGCACGUGGCGCAUGUGACGCAUCCGCGUCGUCCACGCGUUCGCGUCAUUUGUGCAGAUUCCAGUCCACGCGUUUGCGUCAGGCACGCGAUCGCGUCAUUGCGAUUUCCUCCAUUCCGCGCGGUCGCGUGAGCCAUGCGUCCGCGUCGGUAUUCGCUGGUCAUCUCCUUGGCUUCUUCUCUUUCUCUGCAGAAACUCCAUCAAAUUCCGCCAAAUGCUCCCUAAAAUAAACAGUAUUGUACAAAACUCAAAAUAGCAUCCAUAGUGGCUAAAAUAUAAUUAAUUCUUAAUUAAACUCAACAAAUUAGAUGCAAAUUCACUAGGAAAAGAUAGACAAGAUGCUCACGCAUCAGUAUGCUGACAAGUUUGAGGAGCUGUUCAGAUUCUCUCGUAUGUGUCAAGGGACUCCGGUGGAAUAUGAGGAAUGGAAGUGUGUUAAGUACGAAGGAGGACUCCGGAGCGAUAUUUUCAGUUCAGUGGGACCAAUGGAGAUUAGGACUUUCUCCGAAUUGGUGAACAAGUGUAGGGUUGCUGAAGAGUGUGUGAAGAGGGCAGCCGCUGAGAAAGGAAGUCACAAAGGAUCAUUCCCACAGAACCGAAGGAAGAGCUUUGCACCUAGAGGUCCACCUUUUAAGAGGGGAGGUUCUUUUAGGAGGCCCAACAACAACAACAACUCCCAAGGGAAAAAGUUUGGGAAGCAGCCUCAGAAUGAUCAAGCUUGUACUAGGUGUGGAAGUCACCAUCCGGGAGCACCAUGCAAGGCCAGAUGGGAUUUGUGCUACAAUUGUGGAAAGGCGGGGCAUAAAGCCACUAGUUGUCCGGAGAAACAAAAGCAAGGUGCUGGGAAAGCACAACAGACUGGUCGAGUGUUCACCACCUCAGCUGUGGGUGCAGAGGGAUCCGAGACACUCAUUCGAGGUAACUGUGAAAUGGCUGGUCAAACUUUAAAUGCUUUAUUUGAUUCGGAAGCAUCGCAUUCAUUCAUUGCAUUUGAGAAAGCCCAUGAGUUAGGAUUGAAGAUCGUAACCUUAGGUUAUAACUUAAAAGUGUAUAAUGCUACCCAUGAAGCCAUGGUAACUAGGCUAGGAUGCCCGAAAGUUUCGUUUAGAUUCAAGCAGCAUCAUUUUGUCCAUAAUUUAAUCUGCUUACCGAUGAUCGGUCUUGACCUUAUCUUGGGAUUGGACUGGUUAUCUGAGAACCAUGUCCUGCUUGAUUGCUCUACAAAGUCGGUGUACUUUAUGCCGGAAGAUACAGAAGGGCCAGUCGUGGUGAAUAAUUAUUACUUGAAUUCGAUGAUGGUGAACUGUUCUGGAAUCGAAUGUCAGGGUAUCCUGUUGUUAACCGCUGGUGUUUUGGGUGAUGAUCAACGGUUGGAUCAGAUUCCGGUAGUGUGUGAGUUUCCGGAAGUGUUUCCCAAUGAUAUUGAGGAAUUUCCACCUAACCGAGAGGUCGAGUUUGCUAUUGAGUUGGUGCCUGGGUCGGGACCAAUCUCAAGUGCUCCUUAUAGGAUGUCACCGUUAGAGAUGGCCGAGCUAAAGUCUCAGUUAGAGGAAUUGCUGGGUAAGAACUUUAUCCGACCAAGUGUUUCCCCGUGGGGUGCUCCAGUGUUACUAGUAAAGAAGAAAGAUGGAAGUAUGCGGCUCUGUGUGGAUUACAGGCAGCUGAACAAGGUCACCAUAAAGAAUAAGUACCCAUUGCCGAGGAUUGAUGAUCUCAUGGAUCAGUUACAAGGAGCUGGGGUUUUCUCUAAGAUCGAUUUGCGAUCCGGUUAUCACCAGAUAAGGGUGAGGGGUGAGGAUAUCCUUAAGACCGCUUUCAGGACUCGUUAUGGUCAUUACGAGUAUACUGUAAUGUCUUUUGGGUUGACGAACGCUCCUGCAGUGUUUAUGGAUUACAUGAAUAGAGUGUUCCGUCCGUUUCUGGAUAAAUUCGUUGUUGUCUUUAUUAACGACAUACUGAUUUACUCCAAGACUGAAGAAGAGCAUGCAGAACACUUGCGGACCGUGUUGCAAAUUCUAAAGGAGAAGAAACUCUAUGCGAAAUUGUCUAAGUGUGAGUUUUGGAAGGAUGAGGUGAAGUUUUUGGGUCACGUGGUGAGUAAGAAGGGAAUAGCCGUAGAUCCAACUAAGGUAGAAGCUGUGAUGGAUUGGAGGCAACCAACUACAGUAACUGAGAUAAGGAGUUUUAUGGGUUUAGCUGGCUAUUACCGAAGGUUCAUCAAAGGAUUUUCGCAAUUAGCCUUGUCGUUGACAAAGUUAACUCGCAAAGACACUCCGUUUGUUUGGACUCCUGAGUGCGAGGAGAGCUUUCAGGCAUUGAAGAAAAAGUUAACCACUGCACCUGUGUUAGUGUUACCUGAGCCGAACGAGCCUUUUGAGGGGUACUGUGAUGCCUCAUUAAAGGGUCUAGGAUGCGUGCUAAUGCAGCAUCAUAAUGUGGUGGCGUAUGCCUCACGACAGUUGAGACCUCACGAAGUUAGUUACCCUACGCACGAUUUGGAACUCGCUGCGGUUGUGUUUGCCUUGAAGGUGUGGAGACAUUAUCUCUAUGGGGUUAAGUUCCAAGUCUUCUCUGAUCACAAGAGCUUGAAAUAUCUCUUUGAUCAGAAAGAGCUUAAUAUGAGGCAAAGGAGGUGGAUGGAAUUAUUGAAAGACUACGACUUUGAGUUGAAUUACCAUCCGGGGAAGGCAAAUGUAGUGGCAGAUGCGUUAAGUCGGAAGUCGUUAUAUGCGGCUUGGAUGAUGCUUCAAGAGGAGAAGUUGCUCAAGGGAUUCGAGAGUCUAAAAAUUGGUGUUCGAGAAGUAUCUGGAACCUUGUGGUUGAGCCGAUUAGAAAUCUCGAGUGACUUUAAGUCCGAACUCCUAAAGGCUCAUGAAAAUGAUGAAGCAUUAUGGAAGGUGUUACCGGCUAUCGAGCAAGGAAAACAGAGGAGAGUGUCGGAAGAAAAAGAUGGGUUAUGGAAAUUCAAGGGUAGGAUCAUUGUGCCGGAUGUUGGUACUUUGAGGCAAGAUAUCUUAAAGGAGGCACACAAAAGCGGAUUCUCCAUUCACCCGGGAAGGGAUUGCCAAGGACUAUGACUGGUUUUGAUGCUAUCUGGGUGAUUGUGGACCGUCUGACGAAGUCAGCUCACUUUUUGCCCGUUCGGAUGACUUACACCCUUGAGGAGCUAGCACGGUUAUACAUAAAGGAGAUUGUGAGGUUUCAUGGUGUACCUGCUACUAUAAUCUCUGAUAGAGAUCCUCGUUUCACUUCGAGGUUCUGGGGUGCAUUUCAGAAAGCUUUUGGAACCCGAUUAAGCUUGAGUACAGCGUACCAUCCUCAAACAGAUGGUCAAUCCGAGAGGACGAUCCAAACCCUAGAGGAUAUGUUGAGAGCUUGUGUUUUGGACCAACCGGUGAGUUGGGAUCGGUAUAUGCCGUUAGUGGAGUUUGCAUACAAUAAUAGUUACCAUGCAAGCAUCGGAAUGGCUCCGUAUGAGGCAUUGUAUGGGAGGAAAUGUCAAUCUCCGCUAUGUUGGUAUGAAGCUGGAGAAAAAGGCUGGUUGGGGCCGGAAAUGAUAGCUGAGACCACAGAACAAGUCAAGAAAAUCCGAGAUAGAAUAAUUACGGUGCAGAGUCGCCAGAAGAGUUACGCCGAUCAGAGGCGGAAGCCCUUGGAAUUUGAGGCAGGAGAUCAUGCUUUCCUGAAGGUUACUCCGACCACAGGAGUAGGUAGAGCGAUUAAAGCAAAGAAGUUGAAUCAUUGAUACAUUGGUCUAUUUCAGAUCCUGGAGAGGAUUGGGCCGGUGGCGUAUCGGGUGGCUCUACCACCUCAUCUUUCGAACCUGCACGAUGUGUUUUACGUGUCACAGCUUCGGAAGUACACUCCUGAUGCUAGCCAUGUGUUAGAACCUGAAUCAGUUCAGUUAAGAGAAGAUUUGACGCUUCCAAUGGCUCCAGUUAGAAUUGACGAUACUAGUAUCAAACGGUUGCGUGGAAAAGAGGUUUCAUUAGUCAAAGUGGCUUGGAGUCGAGGCGGUGUUGAGGAACACACUUGGGAACUUGAGUCGGAGAUGCGAACGGAUUAUCCGCAUUUAUUCUCAGGUAAUUGAAUUUGAAUUUUGUGGGCAAAAUUCUCAAUUAGGCGGGUAGAAUGUAAGACCCGGUUAAUUAACGGCUAAUUAACCCAUAAAUGAGAAUUUAUUCUAGAAAGCCAAAAAUGUUAUUUUUUAUGGCUAAAUGUGAUAGAGGAGAUUGAGACGAGAAUUUCGGUACCAAUUUUAUAGAAAACGGACCAAGAUUGGACCAAACGGGCCAAACCAGGCCAACCGGACCCAAAGUGGGCCCUUGGCCCAACUAAACUAAACCAAAACUCUAGUUUUCAGCACUCUCUCUCCUCACAACACACUCAAACACGCUGAAAUGGUGGAGAGGAAGGGAAGAACACUCUCUCAACUUCUUUCUCUCACUUGAUCUUCAAACCACCAGAACUUUUGAUCUAGAGCUCCGAUUGCCGCACCGUUUGUGGGCACGCGUUCACCGCAGAGAGCUCUACAAAACCCAUACAAUCAAUCUUGAGAUAAGCUACGUUUUGCUCUUCGAAUUUCCAGCCUUGAUUUCGAGUUUCAUGAGUAAAAAUAUUGAGAUUUUGGGCUCUUUGAUAUUAUAGGACCCAACUCUCUUGAAGGAGAAGAUUAAUCUUGUCUCCUUGGACCUUGAGUAAGGUAAGAUAUCUCAAACCCUAGUGAGAAUGUUGAACUUGUGGUUGUGGGUGUUGAGCUCUUGUGUUUUGGUAUGAUGAUUGUGGCUUAGGUUGUGUAUAUGUGAAUAUUGGAGCUUGAUUGGUGAUUUUGGAAAGCUUGGGAGAGGGUUUUGUGUGACAAAAUAUGUUCUUGGAGGUGUUGAGACCUUGAGAGCUUGAGGAAAAGUGGUUUGGAAGUGCUCCGGUUGAGCUUGGGAAAUCGGCUAAGGUAUGGUUUCGGUUUUCUGUAUCUAUUAUGUAAUGUGGUAGGAAAUACUUAGGCUAGAGGCCCUAAGAUAGGCAUUGAAUUGUUGGUGUUGUUGAAUGGUUGAGAUAUAUGAUGUGUUCAUAUAUGUGAUUAUGAAUAUUGAUGCCUUGAGCCUUGAAUAUNNNNNNNNNNNNNNNNNNNNNNNNNNNNNNNNNNNNNNNNNNNNNNNNNNNNNNNNNNNNNNNNNNNNNNNNNNNNNNNNNNNNNNNNNNNNNNNNNNNNNNNNNNNNNNNNNNNNNNNNNNNNNNNNNNNNNNNNNNNNNNNNNNNNNNNNNNNNNNNNNNNNNNNNNNNNNNNNNNNNNNNNNNNNNNNNNNNNNNNNNNNNNNNNNNNNNNNNNNNNNNNNNNNNNNNNNNNUGGUUUUGUAUGAAAACAUGGUUUUUGGGCGUACUUUGACGGAAGAUAACCUAGACUGCGGAUCUCUAUUUUCUGCCAAAUCUAUUUAGAAAUGGAAUUGGAUCCGGGAUGUCCAUGCCGUUCGAAGAACGGGUGAAAAACGAUUUAAAAUGAGAAAGUUAUGUCCGUCGGAAGAUUGGGGGUUGAAUCUGUAAAUUCUGCAGCUUUUAACUUAGAAAAUUUUUAGCAAAAUGACCCCCCGCGCGUAGGCGCACUUGGCGCAUACGCGUCGUUCUUCGAGAAAACAUCCACGCGUGCGCGUGGUGUGCGCGGGCGCGUUGAUGCGCUGCACCAAAUGCCCAGCCAUUUUCCCGAGAGUUGUGCCAAAGUUGUGCCAGUUUUGUGCCUGGAGCGCAAGAGCACCCACACGUACGCGUGGCUGACGCGUGCGCGUCGUUUGGCUAAUUUUCAAUCUGCGCGUUCGCGCGUAUGACGCUUGCACGUCAAUGAGUUUUAAGGCCAUCCACGCGGGCGCGUGGAGUGCGCGUACGCGUGGCCCUGUUUUCAUCCCAAAGUUGAUUUUUGAGUUUUAAAAGCCAAAUUUCAUACUUCUAAGCCUCCAAUCUCACCACUUAUGUCUUAAAUCAUUAUGAUAUGUCUAGCUAUGAGAUAAGGGGCUAGUGAAUGUGGUAACUUGCGAGUGAAGCAAGGGAAAAAUGAAUGAUCAAUGAAGAUCAAAGAUGAUUAUGUGAGAUGUGGAGGAUGGCGGUGGAAGUGCUUGUUAUGCCAUGGGCCGAAGGGCCGUAAUUGUAAAUAAAUUGGCUGGUUAUGGAUUUAACCGUGAGCCGGAUGGCUAGAUUAUCGCCGUGUUACGGCAGAGCCAUGUUUAUGGCUAAGUAUAAAUGCAUAUAUGCUGUUGAAUGAAUUGUGAAUGUUGAAAGGGAAGUAUUAGUUAGACUGAAUAAUCUUUAGUCAGUUGCCACUUACGGUUUAGCUUGUUUAUAAGCUUUGAUAUUAUCUGGAGGAAGUUCUAGGAUUUCCUUCGGCUUUCCUCUAUUAUUAUGUAUUAUAUAUGUGGAAGCUGUUACCAUGCUGGGGACCUCUGGUUCUCACCCAUGUGAAUUUUGUGAUUUUCAGAUGCAGGACGCGAGGCUUCUCGUUGAGGCAUGCUGGAGACUUCUGGAUUAGCGAAGAUCCUUUGUUCUCGGGACUCUGUUUUGGGUUAUAUAUUUUGUUUAGAUACUUUUAUCUCCAUUAAAUAAUACAAACUGUGAUGACUCCUCUUAUAGGAGGUUUUGGAGAAUAGGUUUCUGUAUUUGUGUCCCUUUGGGUUUUUCUUAUUUUAUUAUAUGUAUAUAUUGCUAUGCUCGGACCGGUUAUCUUCGCAGCCGGAUUUUGAGUCUUGAUAUUCCUGUUUUUCACACUCCCUUGUAUAUAUAUAAUCUCGCGUUAGCUUAUCCUUUGCUCGUUACGUUAUCGAUCGGAGUGUUGCGCGUUCGAGUUACGGUUUUUGUUUACCCCUUUUUCUACAAAGGCUCCUAGUUAUAAUCAAUUAUUCAUACUACUAUACGUACUAAAUUUUUGUUUUAGAGGUCGUAAUACCUUGCCAUCUCUGAAUUAUGACUUAAGCAUAAGUCUCUGUAUGGUAGGAUGUUACAGUAGGUGCUGCUUUGACUAAUGGUUAGUGUUAAUGAAUGCCUUAGGCUCGUGUAAAGGAUAGUAACUUGCGGGAGUUUACUAUAGAGAAGACUUGUAAUUACGUCACCCAAAAAAUACCUUUUACAUUUGGGCUUUGCAAGUAAGUGGACAAAUUUAAAUAAAUUGUUAUGGUUUUUAUUAUUUCUAAUACUGGUAUAAUAUAAGUGGUUAUGGAUUUGUGAAACAAAAUAUCUUGUCGAUUUAUUGAAGUCAGUGAUGAAACCAUAUUUGAUGAUAAAUUUUGAAUUGAUUUGAGUGGAUUUCAUCAUACAAACCAAUAUUUAUUCACCUAAAUAGCAUGCUUUUGUGCUUUCUCUUUAAAUUAUGUCCAAUCUUGAAAACAUGCUAUUUUGCGCUUAAUUUGAUCAAUUUUAUUCCACUUUCAUUCUAUUCGAUGCCUUGAUGUUUUGAUGAGUGAUUGUAGGAGUAAUAGGUUAGAAUGGCUUGAUAAGGGUGGAAAGAAGCAUGCAAUUAGGAGAAAACAUGAAAGAAACAAAGGAGAAGCACACAGCCAAGUGUGCGUACGCACAACUUUCUGUGCGUACGCACAAGUGCAGAAAUCAGCAUGUGUGCGUACGCACAAGUCCCUGCACAUGACUUCAUUAAAAAGUCACAUGGCUCGCGAUUUGGGAGGCUUUUUGGCCCAAUUCUGAAGGGUUUGAAGCUUAUAAAGGAGGGGCUAGCAACCAUACAACCUAACAACUCAUACCAUACAUUAUACAACACACUUAGGAUAGUUUUAGGUAGUUUAGUUUAGGUUUUUCUCUCAAUUUUUCUUAAGAUGUAAUUAAGGUUUUUGCAUUCUCCAAUUUUGAUCUUGGUCUCUAGCUUAUUUUCAUUGUAAGUAUUUCUUAAUUUUCUCUUUUAUUACACUACUUGUUCUACACUUUCUUAUAUUUUAAUUUCCUUCAUCAAUACAUAUAUACUUUUGCAAUUUUGAGUUUUGAUUAAUGAAUUUGAUGUUUAGUGAUUUUUAUAUGUUUAUUGAGUUGCCAUUGUUGAUUUUAUUCUUUUGUGGUUCAUAGUUUUUUAUCAAUUUCUGAAUUUUGCCAUGUUUUAUGAUUAUGCCCACCAUGUGUUUGAUGAAAUACCAAUUUUGAUUAUGGGAAAAAUUUCCACGCCUUGGCAUAGGAAAAUGAGUAUAUGGAAUACUAGAGUCAUAAUGUCCGACAUUUAGUGAUAAUUCUUGGGUUGUUAGAUGUUAUUGUUUCCACUAACGCUAGUUUUUUACCAAGGUAAUUAGUAAGUUAGCUAGGAUUUAUGGAUUAAUAACAAUUAUGCUCACUUGACUUAUUCUUUGAUGUUAAGGGUUGACUUGGUGAGAUUAAUCCAUCAUAAUUAUCAUAGUUGUGGUUAUGGCAAGGAAGGAAUUCCAUAACUCAUCCCAAGUCAAGGCUUCCAUUUAUGUUUUGAACCACCUUUCCAUCUUUUUAAGCUUUACUUGUUCAUACCAUAUAGAUAGUUCUUUAAUUCCUUUAUUAGUUUAUUAAUUAUAAUUUUGAUCAUUCUUUAAUUCCUUUAAUCGUUUGCCUCACUAUUGAAAACCCUUUGAUUUUCACAACCAAAAUUGUGCACUUGUUGUCACUAGUUCCUAGGGAGAACGACCUGAAGUUUUAUUACUCUCGGUUAUUUUAAUUUGAAUUAAACUUUGAUUGAUGAGAUUUAAUUGCCAGAUUGGACUAUGCUACUGACGAAGUGAUUCGUGUUUUGAGAAAUUUUAAACCGGCACAAAAUCUCACUCAUCAAGUUUUUGGCGCUGUUGCUAGGGAGCUAGUGCAAUUGAGUGCCAUAAUUUUGAUUGUUGUGCAUAUGUGAAUAGUGUGAAUAGAUACUUUUUGGGUUGUUUGUUUGCUUUUGUAAGUAAUUAGGAUUUUGUUUCUUUUGUUACUUGAUGUCUUUUGUUUUUAUUUUCUAUUUUUCUUUAUGAGUUAUCACUCUCUUUACUUGGAGAACAGUUAUGAUCAUUUUGUAGGGCUUGAUAACUUCAAUUUUGGAUUGCAUUAUGGAAUGGAAAAUUCAAUUGAGGAAGGCGCAAUCUCCUCCUUAUUACAAUGAGUCAAACCCUCCCCAAUAUGCAUACCCAAACCAAGGAUAUGGUGGAUUUCCCAAUGAUUACAUACUUCCACCACCAUAUACCUAUGACCCAUACCCCCAACAUAAUUCUCAAUCACCACAUUUUCAAACACCACACCAAUACCAUCAUCCACCUCCUUACAUACCAUCUCAAGAUACUCAUCAACGUGAACUACCUCCCACAUAUACAACCUUCCUCCCAAACAAUGAAACCCCUUUUUCACCACAAUGUAAAAUUCUCCAAUCCUUGACCCAAGAGCAACAAGACCUUCAAGUCUUUCUCUAAGAGCAAGAAGAACUUCGAAGGACACAAGGAAAACUCAUGUCUACCAUAGCCGAGGCAGUGAACCGUUUAGUCCUUCUACGCUCAUCCGAUCAAGGCACUCCUCUUGAAGAAUGUGAAGGACCAACUAAAGAAUGGAGUGAAGAGGAGAACAUGAAGCCUCAGGUGGAAGAAGAGGAGCUAAGGUUGGAACCGCAACAAGAGGAGGAAAGUGGGAUGAGUGAACCGGAAGAGGUAGAGGGAGAAUUGAGGAAGAUUGAUCUAGAUGUGGAUUCCAUCAUCGACAAUUUUUUGUCCACAUUGGUCAAUCCCCUUAAUGAUCUUAAUGAACCUCUUCCCAUUAAGUUUGAAAGAGAUACGGAGGUAGACUUCUCACAACCUCCUUCUUAUGAUUUGAGUGAUGGGGAAGAGGAAGUUGGUGAGGAAUCAAUUCCGUUCCAAGAGCAUAUUGAGUGGGUGGCUGAUAAACCACUAUUUUAUGGUUUAUCUUGUGCUCAAUUGAGUGGAUUUUAUCAACUCUUUACCCACUUAUUCAUACUAUUUGCAUGAGUUUACAUUCUCAUUCUUGAUUUUGUGAUAUGAUUGAAAACAUGCUUCUUUGGCCUUAAGUUCCCUACGUUUAAUCCUCUCUUAUUACCAUUAGAUGCCUUGAUAUGUGUGUUAAGUGAUUUCAGAGAUUAGUGGCAGUUUCACCGAUGAACUUCAUUGGCCCCAUCAAUAUGCUAUCUUGGAGACGGAUUACCAACCUAAGGUUCUUCUUGGGUUGGUACAUGGUGGAGAAAGGGGUGUUGGUUGCCAUGUGAAUCCAAGGUUCUUCAAGAAAACCAUUUCAAGAGUUGGAGUUCAAGUGGGAUGCAAGGCACAAUUAUGUGAUUUCCAGAGAGUGUUGGGUUACUUCAAGGGUAAUUUAAGAGUUUGUCCAUCCGACUUGAAGCAUAGAGAUCAACAAGAAGGAGAAUGGGAAACUAGAAUAUAGGAUCCCGGAGGAGCUUUGAAGUGCAAGCUUGGAUGGAGAUUCAAGGAGGAGUGGAAACAUAAGCCACCCUAACAAGAGUCUCCUCAAAAAGUCUAACUUAAGGACUUUAAAUAAAAGUGGUAGUUGGGAGACACCCCACUAUGGUAACAUUGUUUCAACCCUUCUCUUUGUUUAUAAUUUGCCUUAACUGCAUUUUUGUUUGUCUUAGCUAGAUUAGGAUUAGUUUAAUUUUGAGCAUAGGUAGGUUGAUUUUCAUAUGGAUCAUAAAUUUAUGGAUUUCUGGAUGUUUUGGGUUGAAAUUUGUGUUGAGCUAAGGAUUAAGGGACUUAGAAAUUAAGAAAUUUUUUUUUUUGGAAAAACAAGGCAUUGUGCGUGCGCACACAGUUGUGCGUACUCACACAAUCACUGAAUUCUGCGUCCUGUGCGUACGCCGCACACUUGUCUUCACAGCCCCUGUUGGGAGCGCUCGCACGCUUUUGUGCGUGUGUGCAUCCCAGUUUUUGCUCCUUGUAUGUGCACACAAGCUUGUGCGUACGCACAAAAACCCCAAAUUCCUCAUUUUGUGUAUACGCACACUCAUUUGCAUCCCUUCUGUUGGAAGCGCUCGCACCUCUCUGUGCGUGCGCACCUUGGCCUUUUUGCUCUCUGUGCGUAUGCACACAUGCUUGCGCAGGCACACAUGAUCUGUAAAAAAAAAAAGUCUUCUGUGCGUAUGCACACCUUUGUGCGUACGCACACAUCUUAAUUCCCUCUCUGCUCGGAGCAUUCGCACAUGUCUGUGCGGACGCACACCCCCCAUUUUUCACCCAGUGUGCAUGCACACACCUGUAUGUGCGUAUGCACAAGUGCUGCUUUGGGCAAAAUUUUGAUUUCACUUUGAAUUAAACCCUAAGGCACUUCCACCCCUCUCCAUCUCUCUCUUUUCUUUCUUUUACCCUUUUUUCUACUUAUCCUAGUUAGUUUUAUUUGCAUUUCAUUUUGAUUUUAGUAAUUUUAUUAGGUUUGAUUUAGUUGUUUGUCAAUUAAAUAAGUUGCAAGUAUUUUCUUGAUGUUGAUUAGGUUGCUUCUUGCUUGCAAUUUUGGCUUAAUUUUUUAUUAAUAUGUGCACUAAGCAUUAAGUUUUUGUUUAAUUGCCUAAAUGAAUUGUGAGUUUGAUUCAUAUGUUGUAGCUACCAUAUGUAUUAGACUAUAUCCUUGUUUGGCAACUUAAUCAUGAAUUGUGCACCUUGGAUGAUCAUUGAUGUUAUUUAAGAUUGAAGUUCAUCAAUGCACUUAUACUUUGUCUUAAUUUACUAAGUAUCUAGUGGGUUUAAAAAUUCAUGUUUUGAUUACACCCUAGGACAAAUUAUUUGUAAGUGCAUUGAAUAUUAGUGAAUUGAGUUGAAUUACUUGUUCAUCAUGCCUCUCAUAUAAUCACAUUACACGGUACUUGUUUGUUUUUAAUGUUAUACAUUUGUUUGAGUGACUCGACUUGAUUCUUAUCAAGCUUGUCACUUUUUGCAACAAGUACCUUUACCAUGUGACUAUUUCAUUAUGUUUCAUGAUGAAUAAGGAGUUUUCUUUUCAUUAUUAGAUUGGUUAUUGUUUAUUGUGCUUCUAUAUCAAUUUUGCACUUUCCCUUGCACAAUUUCAAUAUCCAAUAUCUCAAAUAUUCAAUUUACUUUAGUUGUGGUUACCUAGGUUUUUAUGUGCCUUAUCUCUUGCUAAUGCUUUACUUGCAACCUAGGCUACUUAAUUGAGGAAUACAUGCUAUUUCUUUUUUAUUGUGUGGUUUUUGUUUUUACCCGGCCAAUGCGUCUGUUCUAAACCGUGCACACUUAGAUACACACAUUGUCGUCUAUCAUACCACACUCAUUUGAACUCUUCCUCAAUUCCUGUUUAAUUAUUUUAUACAGCAACCCGAGUCCGGUGCCCACCAGAUGAAGGUGGAGCCUCUUAGAGUCUUUCAUCCCCCGGAUUACAUGCGUGCACAGAGGACCGUGCAAUAUUUAAGUGUGGGGAGGAUCCGCAAUUUUGGGGUGUAAAUUUCUCUUUCUAACACUUUGCACUAUUUUUUUUUUAGUUUUAAGUGUGGGGGAGGAUCCACAAUUUUAGGGUAUAAAUUUCUCUUUCUAACACUUUGCACUAUUUUUUUUUAGUUUUUAGUAGUUAUGAAUUUGGUGACUACUAGAAAUAGGGUGUUUUUGGACGAAAAUUUCAAACGAAAUUUAUUCCGUCUGAAUGACUUUUUCAUUUCGAACAAAUUUGAGACAAAUGUAGAACAAUUUUUAGUAGAGACAUUGGAAUAAUAUAUUCUAUCCUAAAUUUGCCUAAAUUUUGUCCUAAAUAUUGGCGCCAAUUUUUUUUUGGAUGGCGCCAAAAUUUUCAUACAGAUUAGCAACACAUUUUGGACAAAAACUAUAAUUCGUCCGUAUUCUAUCUGAAUAUGCGCAAUAACUUCAGACGGAUUUGGGACGCAUUUUGAAAAAUGUUAAUUCUAUCCCAAAUUUGUCUAUAAUUAGUCUUAAAUGCUUUUACUAUAGCUAACCCUUCGAAGUAGCUAAAAUUUUUUCCCACAAAUUUGGGACGAAAAUAACAUCAUUUGUAAAUUCUGUUUGGAAGUGCAUCAGUUUUCAAACAAAUUUUAAAUGUUUAUUAAAAAAUUUUAACAUUUAGUAUAAAAAUAUUAUUUAUAUUUUAAAUUAGUCUAUUAUUUUUUAAUUUAUUCUUUUAAUUAUUUACUUUAUAAUCAUUAUCUUCGUCUUCAUCCUGGUCCUCGUCCUCAUUCUCAAAUGUCUCAUCAUCAUCAUCAUCUUCAUAUCUUGUACUAUCGGUAUCCAAUAAAUCAAUAAUAGUGUCAAUAUUAUUUGAGAUAUGAUUGUUAGAUUGAUUUGUGACAUCUUCUUGAUAUGCAAAAUCUUCUGUGUUUCAAUCUCAAUCUCACCUCUUGCUUUAGUCUUGAAUACAAACCACCAUUCUGCUUUUAACAAAAUGAAAUAAAAAUAAAAUAAAAAUAUUUAUGAUAGAGUAAAAUUAACAAAAUACUUAUUGUNNNNNNNNNNNNNNNNNNNNNNNNNNNNNNNNNNNNNNNNNNNNNNNNNNNNNNNNNNNNNNNNNNNNNNNNNNNNNNNNNNNNNNNNNNNNNNNNNNNNNNNNNNNNNNNNNNNNNNNNNNNNNNNNNNNGUUCCAAUUAAUAUAGAAUAGCUAGAUAUUCUUAAAAUAUUAGUGAAAAUAUAUAUUUUAAAUUUUAAUUUUAAAAUUUUGACUAUUUUUUAUUUUAUAUUUAUAUAGGACUGAGUCAAUCGGUUCAACCAGUGAUCCAUCAGUUGAACUAAUGACCCAGUGAUCCAGUAAUCUGACUAGUUCGAUUACCGGUUCGGUUUUGAUAACUAAAUAAGAUAAAUUAAAUAAAGAACUACCCUUAAAGUAAUAUUAAAAUUUUUAAUAAUGAAAAUUAUAGUAAUGAACAUUAAACCACAUAAUGAUAAGUCACAAAAAAAAUCACAUAAUGAUAGUUAUUAAAAAAGAAUUUAUCUAUGAAGAAUUUUUUUCAAUUGACUCUUUUAGCACACUAUAUAUAGAUACAGUAGCUCAAAAAAAAUUUUACUUAUCUAGAAGUCUCUGGUAUGGCUUAUGAGAUGGAUUGGAGACUUAUGAGUCGAAACAGUUGUUAGUUUUUUUACUGGAGCGAUUGGGUUAGUACUUAGCAAGAACACUCCGACGCUCAAGUUAGAAUGGAUUUAUGAAAUAUAUGUGUGUGGAAUAAGGAAUGUAACUGAGGGGCCUCUGGCUCCCCUUUAUAUAAUUCGAUACAGUUAUCUUAUCUUAUCUAUCUUAUCUAUUAAUAUAAAAGGAAUUUUUAAUUUCAAAUAUUGAUUUUACUAAAUAUUUAUCUUUUAAGAUUAUUAUAUAACAAAGAUUUAAGAACAUAAUUUAAUUUAAAAAUUUUAAAAUUAAUAUUAGAUAUAAUUCUUUUUAAAUAUCUAUCAUUUAGAUAUCAAUAUUCCAUAAUUUAUUGGAUAUAUUUUUGUUGCAAUCUUAUCUUUUUUUAAUUUGUUAGUAAAAAUUAAAUAUAAUUUUAAUUUUAAAAUUUGUUAUAUGCAGUUGUUUCAAAGUCACUUAUUUAAUUUGCGCCAAAAAUAAAAAAUUUAUUCAAAACCGCCUUUUUAGUUCCAAAUAUUUUAGUUUUUGAAUGCUUUCUCGCUCGUAUGUAUCAUAACUAGCUAGGUUACCUUCCAAAAACCCAACAUUUUUUCAGCAUUCCCUUUUGGUUUCAGCGUCAGUUUUGGAUCUCCGUCUCCCUCCUUCUGCGUGCUCCCUCCUUCUGCAUUCUCUGCCUUCUGUGGUCACCGCUCGUGCUUCGCACUCAACGCUACGACAGCCACUGCUCCAGCCUCCACUCUCGCACCUCAGACUACCUCUACCCUCUAGAUUCGAACAAAAAAUCUCUUUUUUCACCCUCAUUCAGCGACGUUCGUCUUUUCCCUUUUCUCUUUUUAAGGACACAAAUCAUGAAUAAAAUAAAAUGUACUAACUAAUUCACCUAAAAAUUUAUUAAUCUAAAUCAGAAAAAAUAUAUACUCUAGACAUCAAUUACUCAUGUUAUCAUCCUCAUUAUUACUAGAGCCUGUACCGAGCUCAUUUUCUGUAGGAACAGACAAGGUUGAAGAAAUUGGGAGAUUCAACUUUUAUAUAAAGUAUCAAGUGUCUUUUUAGUAGAACUAAUUCUUUUCUAUUGAGCUUUUAGUUGACGUCCUUGAUCUUUUAACUUGUGCUCAAUAUCAUUCAACUUAACCUUUUGCUCUUUAUUGAUAAUUUCUUGCUCCUUUGCCUUUUCUUUCCAUAUGUGAAGUUCUUGCUCAAUAUUUAUAUCGUCUUUGGAUGUCUCUGGGCAAUCUCUGGAACCCAACUUUGAAGAGAGAUCUAAACCAAAAGAAUCUAAACAAAAAGCAGCUUUCUUUUUUCCUUUUGUUACAACUUCAUUCCAAAUAGGGUAAUCAUCUGGCAUAUCUAGGUCUUCCUUAGAUGCCUCAACAUGUCCCUUAUUAUCUAAGGAUAAAGCUACUUGAGAAAGUUCUGUCUUUCGCUUUUUGAAUUCACCCUACAAAACUAAUUCAUUUUAAUCGCAACUAAAUAUGCCAUGAACAAAUACUAACAUAUAGUGAAAAUUAUUUUUGAAAAAGACAAAAGAAGAACAAACUAGCAUCACAUACAUUGACUUUUUGAGAUCUUUCAUCAAUCCAACUCUUGUCGUUUUUGAUGUGGCAUUUAGUAUAAACCUCCUAUAGAGAAGGUUUUACUCCCGUAGCUUUCUCCUAUAAUAUUAUAGUUUUAAUCCAUAGGAAAGAAAAAAAAGAAUAAGAAAACAUUGCUCAUAAUAAGAACAAGACUAAAAUUUUAAACUAUUUUUAUCUUACCAUUCUUCGUGCAUGUUCACCCAUAGAUAUGGAACUACUAGUGUGCAUGAAAUCUCCAGGAUUUGAUGCUCGAUUCAUAGUAUUUGCUGUUGCCCAGUUCUUAAAAUGUGAAUCUGUAGCCCAAUAAUGCAAUAGUUGAUGCCAAACUGGUGCAAGAAUAUAUUUUGGUAUAUAGUCAGAGUCUUUUGAAUACUUGACUCUCUCUUGACUCAUCAACCCUUUUACUCGAGCACUCUCUUUAAUCUAAAAAAUUUGACAAACUCUUGCAUUGUGUUGAGGAUCCCACAUACAAUAUUUCUCUAAAAGAAAAUAUACAUAUACAAUGAAUUACCCACUAUGUAUAAUAUCAAAAUAUGCAAAAAAAUGAUAAUAAAUACUUACCUUAAAUUUAGUAAACUACAAAUCUCACAUUUGAUCACUGGCAUGUCUCCAUGUAGGGUAGCAUUCUGAAUAUUUGCUUUUAAUGGCAGUUGUUACAUAACGAACAGUAAUACAUGGAUUAAACCUAUAAACAGGUCAAAUAAUAAGUAAUUACACAUCCAUUCACAAUAAAAAUAAUAUAGAGAGAACAUUAAAACACAAAGGUGAUGGUUGUACUUACUCAUCUCCAAAAUGCACUAUUUUCAAGAGCCCUUCUUGAGUGACAGGUUUGCCUUCUUGAUUAAGAGAUUUAUCUUGAUGAUUUUUAUAUGAUGAGUGAGCAUGAUAUAAAUUUUGUUCAAUAUUAGGAUCAUUAUCAAAUGAUUGAGGUUGGAUAGGUGAACAACAUUGUGAUUCAACUGGUGAUAGUGAUGGUGAUGGUGUAUAAUCGGCAUGAAAUGAUAACAUUUUCUUGAAUUUUUGUGGUGGCUGCGAAGAAGAGGGUGGUAAUGCUGAAGGCUUUUUAGAUACAUGUGAAGGAACUGGAGCUCGUGAUUUUGUAGGUUUAGGGUGUGAAAGCUUAGUUUUGUGUGCACUAAUCACCUUCUUAUUAACAGAUUUUCGCACAUUAAUUAACAAGUAUUUUUUUUUAAUAACCUGACAUCUAAAACAACAUAAAAAUUUAUAAGAUUAGCAACACAUAUUGCAUUUAAAUUUUAGUAAUAUAUACAUCAUCGAAAUAAUUAAAAUAAUAACAAUGUAAAAUAGUACUUAGCUGCCAAAAUAAUCAAUUAGGAUAUAAAAUAAAGUGCUACUGUGCUUUAGUAGUAAACUACUAAUAUAUAUGUAUACAUAAGCAUUUUGAAUCAUUCAUAGUUAGGAUAAUACUAUAUGCACACAUAUGAUAAAACUACAGCCAAAUACACACAUUAGCAAUUAUUAAUUAAAUUUCUCAAAGAUGAUGCUUUUUUAUAUCUCGUUCUUUAUAUAAUUAUGCCGAGUUCGAAUAUGUUUAACUGAUAAGACAGACAAAAUUUGAUUCUUCUAUAGGUUAGUUAUGGGAUGGACAAGAUUCUUUGAAGGAACAAGGCUGUUUGACUGCAUCAGCUUUCCCAACAAGGUAACAACCAAAAAAACUUUAAUGUAGUAAUUAACUUUUAAAAUUUUAAUUACAUACCACAAUUUAACUUUUUUGUAGAUCCACCCUAUUCCAGUUCAUGUUGAAGAAGGUAAAUGUAUUCUAAUUUAUGGAAGAAUAUAGUGCAAUUGUUUUGUUUUCUCCUUCUAUUUACAUUUUUUAAUUCAUGAGUUAUAAUACAAAUAGGUUAGAGAUGGGGAGAAAUAAUGCUUAACUCUUGUACAUUAUAUAUCAUUACUAUUGCUCACUACAUAUUAGUCGUGUAAAAAUUAGGUAAUAAUUCUGUUUUGGUGGAGAAAAAAAAAAGGAAAAACAGUUAAUCAAAAUACGGCUCUUUCUUGGUAUUAUUUUUAUUGAGAAGCAGGUCCAUCUCAAACUUGACUUGCAAUUUUUGAAAGACUAGCAAAUGGCCACUUCUGCAGUGCAAACUAUUUUUGUAUUUGAAUUUUAUCUUUCUACGUUAGCCUUAUAAAUACAACAAUAUUUCUGUUUGAAUUUUGUAUUUGCUUGCACAGGAAAUAGUCUACCCAGAUAUUCCUACAAGAAGGUGUGACACCCCCAAGAAUCACGAGAUACUUUCCCAAGGAACUCAUGCUAGCAACUACGGCCCGCUAAGCAAGCAUUUCAAUCAAUAACUGAAAUGUUUCCUAAACAAGAUAACACACAAUAACAGAUUGAAGAUGCAAUAAUCCCAAAAUGGAACUCUGUAAUUGGAACUUUUGUAUCUUUAACAUCGACUCAAUCACCAUCGGUUUCUUUAACUAAAAAGAAUGGAUAAAACUACUGGUCUCUUUUUGGCGAGAGAUUCUAAUUAUAAGGUACACUCUACCAAAUUUUCUAAAACUUUUAAUAAGUUGUGUUGUUGGUUUAAUUCUAGAGUGUGUGUUGCAAUAUGAUUUCAAGUCAUUGUCUAUGGAUGUAGAUAGGGAUAAUAGUGGAGGGGGUUUAAAACUUGAAUUCUCUGAGGGGGACGCAUUUGUUGCGCAUGUCUUCAACAUGGAACCGUUUAGGUCUGAAGGGGUAUCCAGAUGUUUGUGUUAUAGGUGUCGGCUGACUAAGUGGUUAGGACCUUCGAUAUAACGCUCCACCUCUACCGUAAUGGGUUCAAGGAUGGGUAUUAGAUGUGGACAGAACAUGAAGAAGUGGACGAGUAGGAAAUUAACCGGUCUCCCUCGAAUUUAAAUAGGUCCGAUGGUCGAUCAAUGAGGGUUCGGGUGGUGAGAGAACUAAACAUGGAAGAAAUGAAUUGGGAGUGUAACCAAGAGAGAUACAAUGAGAUGGUGUUUGAUGCAAUAGGUGUUACAGAAAUGGAAGAGGUUGAACAAGAGCCUAACCCAGAGGUAAAGAGAUUUUAUCAUCUGUUAGAAUCUGCCACGACACAUUUGUUCGAGGGGUGCGUUUAUUCGAAGUUUUUUGCAUGUGCUAGAAUGAUGAGUAUUGAGUCAGAGUCAAAUCAUACCCAAGAGUCUUUUGAUAAGUGGGCCACCCUUUGCAACAAACUGGUACCUGUCAGGACCACUAGCAUCCCCAAGAGCCCGUACGAAGCAAAGAAGUUAGUUUCGAAAUUGGGUCUAAAAAUUGAUUGUUGUUUAAAUUGUUGUAUGUUGUACUACAAGAGGGAUGUAGACCUAACUGAAUGUAGAUUUUGUCAAGAGAGAACAGAUUGGUAAACAACAGUUAAAGAGAGUUCCAAUGAAACAGAUGCACUACUUACCCUUAAUCCCUAGGUUGAAACAAUUGUAUACAUCGAUGAGUUCGGCCCCUCACAUGACCUGGAAUAGUAACAACAAGAGAACACGAAAGCACAAGGACUACAAUAUCACUGAAGGUAAUAUAACAAGAAAAUAUAAGCACUAAAAUCCUUUUAUUCUACCUUAAAAUGUACGACAGAUAUACUAUUUGCCUUAUUCAGGUUCAUGCAAGUCUAGUUGGAUGAUUGUGGUUAAGACUAAGCAAAGAGGCCACAUCGAGUCUGAUGAGACAGAGAUCAAGAAGCUUGCCAGAUUGAUGACCUAACUCCUUCAAAAAUGGUGGUUGAUACCGGUGAUCCAAUCACCUUUAGGUUGCCUGUUAUGGAUGAUGAUAUCAUUGACCUUUAAAUAGAUGAUGACGCACAACCACCAGAGGAUGAUGAUCUUCAAGAAGAAGAUGGGGUCGAUGGCGACGAAGAAGAGGAAGACGAGUUCAAUGAUCAGGAAACUACUUUAAAAGAGGUGGAUGGUGAACUAGAGGAAGACGACGAUGAAUCUGAAUAGGGUUAAUGUAAAUAUAGUUCUAUCUUAUGUAUUUCUAUACCAAACUUUGAGAAGAAUGUAAUAUAAUUAGCAUUGUUUCAGAUAUUCCAAAUACCAUUAUUCCGUAUUUUUAAUUUGUAUAUUUGAUAUUUCACAUCAAGUUUAAAGCAUUGUUUCAAUUAUUAAUUAUCGGGGUACAUUAUAGAUGGACAGAAAAAAUUAUUUAAAAAGAAAAAUCUACUGUCGAAAUAUACCGACGGUAACAGCCCAGGUAAUUUUCCAAAAAAACUUAGAAAAAAUAUUUCCGUUGGCUUUUAUCGUCGGAUUAAGGGCGCGCGAAGCCGUAUGCUUUGGCGCCAAUGUUACCAUUGAAAAUUUUCUGACGGUAAGUUGCAACAGAUUUUCUUUUUUUGAUAUGCAUAUUUCGCCGCAAAAUCUGACCCAAAUUACUGUCAGAUACAUAAAUCCGAUGGUAAUUUGUUACCGACGAGGUUUGUUCCGUCGGAUAAAUUUCGACGCAAAAUUUGACGAUAAAUUGUGUACCGUCAAAUUUUAUUCGUUUUUUCGACAGUAAAUUUAUCGUUACUCAACGUUUUCUUGUAGUGACUAUUUUAAUUUAUUAUAUAUUUUGAGGUUAAAUUUUUAAUUUUGAAGGUCUAAAUUUGAAUAUAUAUAUAUAUAUGGUAACUUCUGUAGUGGCUAUAUGGUGGAGACCAAUGGAAGUAAGGCAUGGAAGGUAUAAUAGAAAUUGACCUUAUAUGGUGGAGACCAAUGGAAACAAGACAUAUGGAAGGUAUAAUAGGAACCGACCAGGAUUUUAACCAGGUUAAAGGUAGGGUAAAUCUCUUAAUGAAACAUGGUAAAUUAUUAAGUGAGUGUUAAUUUAGUAGAUGAAUUUAACAAAUAAAAAGAAAAUUAAAUAAAAAAUUAAUAAAACAAAUAAAGAAGUAAAAGGAAAAAUUAGAUUGAUCAAAGAGAAAGUAUAGGGAGCCAAUGGAAUAUUUGUACAAUGUGUACAAUGGAGAUUUAGGGAUGUCCGAUUCAGUAUUAGAGAUAUAACCAUUAGUGUUAUCUUUUCCUAUCAGCUGAAGCUUUUAGGAUGAGUGGUAUCAUGACAUGGUAUUAGAGCUCUAGAUCCAAAAGGUCAAGAGUUCGAUUUUUGGUGAACGGAUGAUAUGUUUAUUAUCCUUAGUACCCGGAUGGUUAUUCUGGAUAGUAUGGGUGAUGUUCAUAAUUAGGUUUAGAUUCUUGCCGUCGCAAGGCAAUGGUUUUGAAAUUUGCACCCCCCCUGAGGGAGGAGUUCCUUACCGUAUUGCGUUGGUUUCAUCCAAGUAAGUGCUGACUCUAUUUGUUCGCUGUGUUUUUCUUUCAUAUAGUGGAGACAGAGGAAGGCGACAGUGAGUCUUCUGACAAACACAAAGUUGCAAUGGCUGUUGAGAUCAUUGUCGCUGAUGGAUCGAGUAAGUCACCGACGAAAUUAGAGAGAAGAACCGCCGAUGCCGCUACUGUCCAUCACUAUCGUCACUAAGGACGAUGCCACUGGAAUGCUCAGCCAAGACGAGACCACUAACAAUGAAGAAACCUCAGCUAGGGAGGACAGACAAAUGACAAUGAUGAAAUGUAACUUAUAUGUGGAGGGUUUUUAUUUUUGCUGAUUUUUGUCUGAUUUUCGAUUUUCUGGUAAUCUGAAUCUUUGACUUUUUCUAGCCUAGGGUUUCUGAUUUUCUAUUUCAGUUAUAAUCUUUAGUUUUGUGUUUGUUUGAUUUUGUUGAAAUAACAUAGUUUGUGUGUGAUUGGCUUGCUCAUGAGUAAGUGACUUGAUUAAGAACUUAUAAAAAGCUAUUGUUACAUAUUUUUCUUCGAAUAAUUGCCGCAUUGUUCCUCAAUUAAGAACUCUUUUGAUGAUAUUGGUUGUUGCACUAUGUUUCUAAGGAGAAAGGGGCCAGAAUUGCAUAUAGUCAUAUAGAUAUCUUUGUAAUUGACUUCUUUAUUUAGAAACAUUUAAAUUAAUUAACAAAUUUGAUCUACAAGUUAUGUGCUGACCAACUAAAUAAAUUUUAUUUGGAGUGCAAACCAACCUAUUUGCUACCUUCUUAUGUUAGCAUAGAGGAUUUAUUGAAUAGGAAAGGAAGAGAAGAAGGGUGUGUCCAGAACAUCUACCAGAGUUUCAUUGAAUAGUCAAUUAUACAUUAUUGAUUGUGGUGAAAGUUGUAAUCUAGUGAAUUGUACGCUAAUAAUAAAUGAAAUUGUAUAUUAACUUCCUGCUUUUGAUUUGAAAACUAAUAGAUCUGUGUAUGUUAGACUUUUAUUUAUACAAAUUCUAAAAGUUUUUGUUCUAUUGCAAUAUGUUUAGUUCGAACUCAAAGAGCAAGAAAUUGAAACUUUUGGAGGGUUGGAAUUAAUGGAGUUGCAAUUCUAUGUCAUGACACUUGUCUUCAAGUCUAAGUGGCAACAAAGAGGCUUUUGAAAGGGGAUGAGAAUUGUAAUUGUGUUCUUAUACAUGUUUAAUAAAUAAUUUUUUACACAUGUUUAAUAUUUACUUUCUUCACAUUUUGACACGCAUAACAAAAAUAACUUGCCAAUAUUUCCCGCUAAUAAUAAAGGUACGAAUAAUGCUAUACAUCUUAAUUUUUUUUAUGAACUAAGUCAAAGCAAGUUAAACAAUAAGAUUUGGAAUAAUGCUUGUUAGAAACAAGAGACUGAGAGAGUAAUCUGAAAAGUGUAUUAUUGAGUUGUGUUCAGAAGUACAAUAUAUAAGGGGUAUUUAUAGGUGCUAAAUGAAUCAAAGUAAUAAAGACAUAGAAUCUUACAAUUAAUGUACAGAUAUACUAUAUAAAUAUAGACGAUACUAAUUGAUUUAAAUUGAUUCUAAUGAUUCUCUAACAUGAUUCUCUAACAUCCCCCCUCAAACUCAAGUGGAAGCUAAGGAGACCAACUUGAGUUUGGAUAACAAAGUCCGGAAACGAGUCGGGUGAUGAGCUUUCGUGAAGAUAUCAGCAGUCUGAUCCAGUGUUCCAACAGCAAUGAGACGAACAGCAUCAAUAAGAAUACGUUGCCGAACAAAAUGAUAAUCAAUCUCAAUAUGUUUGGUGCGUUCAUGAAACACAUUAUUAUGGGCAAUCUGAAUAGCACUGUGGUUAUCACAAAAAACAUCAGUAGGGGACGACUGAGGAGCACCCAGAUCUUCGAGAAGCCAACGAACCGAGAUAACCUCAGCAGUGGUGUCAGCGAGAGCACGGUAUUCAAAUAGACGAGGAGCGGACAACGAACCGAGAUAACCUCAGCAGUGGUGUUAGUGAGUCGUACGAGGAGCGGACAAGAACUGGCUGAGGACAUGUACUGGAUAGGCAAUGUCUGGUCGGGUGACAGUCAAAUAGACGAGACCGCCAACUAACUGUCGAUAGAGAGUCGGAUUAUCCAAAACAGUGCCAUCCAUAGGGGUAAAUCGAACAUUAGGCUCAAUAGGAGUAGACUCAGUGCGACUAUCUGUAAUCCCAUCGCGAGCAAGAAGAUCUGAAGCAUACUUAGCCUGAGAGAGAUAGAUGCCAUCAUCUGUGGAGAUGACAUCGAGACCAAGAAAAUAGUUGAGAGAACCAAGAUCUUUCAUCUCAAAGGUACGAUGAAGUGAGGCCUUGAGAUCAGAGAUACCAUCAACAUCAUCUCCAGUAAUGAUCAUGUCAUCAACAUACAAAAGUAGAAGGACAACUCCACGUUCGCUUUUACGAAUGAAGAGGGCAUUCUCAUGAGGACUAGAAGUAAAACCAAGACUGCAUAUGGUAGUGCUGAACUUGUCGAACCAUUCACGAGGAGCUUGCUUAAGUCCAUAAAGUGCCUUGCGAAGGAGACAAACCUUACGAGAAGGACAAGGAUAUCCCGGAGGGGGUUUCAUAUAGACUUUCUUUUUCAAGUCCCCAUUAAGAAAUGCAUUCUUCACAUCCAUCUGACUGAGAGACCAUUUUUUAACCGCAGCAAUGGCAAGGAGAGCUCUAACAGAUGUAAGGCGAUCGACAGGAGCAAAAGUCACUUCAUAAUCAAUACCAUACUCUUGCGUGCAACCUUGAGCAACCAAGCGUGCCUUAGAACGGUCAAUAGAGCCAUCAGAGCGAGUCUUGAUCUUGUAUACCCAUCUACUGCCCAUAACUUCCUGAUCAGAAGGAGGAUCAACCAACUCCUAAGUAUGUGCUUUUUCAAGUGCCUGUAUUUCUUUCUGCAUUGCUUUUUGCCAAUUUUGAUUUGUGGAGGCUUCUCUAAAUGACUUAGGUUCAUGUUGAUGAAGAAUAGUAGAAAAUCAAUGAUAAUCAAGAAGAUGAGGAGGUGGAUUCCUUACCCGAGAAGAACGAGUGGGAGGAGGAGGAAUGACGGUAGGAGCGGGAUCGCCGUCCGGACUGGAAUCAUCGGGAGAUGGGGAAGGCGGAGGGGCAGGAGCCUCGAGGGGUGGACUUGGGGUAUACCCUGUAGUAUCAUCACUAGGAAAGAGAUCAACAUUUGGGUUAGUAAAAAACGGUGACGGAGUAUAAGGAAUGGACUCAAAAAAGGAAAAACUAGAGAACAUGUGAUGCUCCCAGAAGACAACAUGACGAGAUAUACGAAUACGGCGAGAGAUAGGAUCCCAACAACAAUAACCCUUAUGUUCAGAAGCAUAACCAAGAAAAUAACACAUGCGAGCCCGAGGUUCAAGUUUAUUAUGUUCAUGAGGCUGAAGAAGGACAAAGCAGACACAACCAAAAACACAGAGAGAACUGUAAUUGGGAGAAGUACGAUAAAGACGCUCAAAGGAGGUAGUGUUACCAAGAACAAAAGAAGGGAGUCUAUUGAUAGCAUGAACAGCAGUGAGAACAGCUUCACCCCAAGCACGCUCAGGACAGGAAGAGGAAAUAAGCAUCGCACGGACAGAGUCAAGAAUAUGACGGUGUUUACGCUCAGCUCUGCCAUUUUGUUGAGAAGAACCAGGACAAGAAAACUCAGACAAAGUACCCUGUUCAGCGAGGAAAUUUAAAAGUUUGGAGUCACGGUAUUCCAUAGCAUUAUCACAUCUGAAAAUUUUAAUGACCUUUGAAAACUGAGUUCGAACCAUAGUAGCAAAGUUAAUGUAAAUCUGAGGCAACUCACAAUGAUUAGUCAUCAAAUAAACCCAAGUAAAACAUGAAUAAUCAUCAAUAAAGACGACAAAAUAUCGAGUCCCUCCCAUAGAAGCGGUGGAAGCGGGGCCCCAAACAUCAAAAUGAAUAAGAUCAAAAGGAGAGUAUGCAAUAGAGGAAUUAUUAUUAAAGGAUAAGGCAGGUUGUUUUGCAGUGAGACAAGAAAUGCAAUCUAAAGACUCAUUUUGAACUUGACCUAAAACACCUGUAGAUAUAAGAGGACGCAAUUUUUCUAAGGAGUUAUGAGCAAGACGAUGGUGCCACAAGUGAAAAGUGGAUGGAGAGGAAGCAGCACAGAGAUUUGUAGAGGGAACAUGAAGGUUCUCGAGCUCAAAUAAGCGUCCGACCUUACAGCUAGUCCCGAUGAUCUUUCCCGUCCGACGAUCCUGGAGGGGUGGAAAGAGUAGCGGGGGUAUUACCAGAAAAAGAGAGAAGUUACUUAAGAAGGGUUUCAAUAUCUGAUGGAGAGACAGAAGGUGUGUUGAGAGAUGUGGAAGAGGUGGACUCAGUAGCAGCAGCAGCAGUAGAGGCAGGCACAUGCGGAGAGUUGUUGGGACGAGGUUGAUACUUGUUCUGAUCUGAACGUGGUGGUCGAGUAGGACAGGUAGCAAUCAAGUGACCCGAGAGCUUAUAAUAAUGGCAGAACAGUUUCGGGCAGUUGGAGCCAAUGUGGCCUUUUUGUUUGUACUUACGACAUUCAAUAGAAGGACAGUCAGAGAAGGAAUGUCCAGGCCGGUUACAGUUGCGAUAGAUUUUACCCUUUCUGUCAGUGACAGCAAAGAUAGUUUCACUUCUAGAACGAAGCAAUCCCAAGCGCGUUUCUUCAGACUUGAGAUGAGGAAGAGCAUCUUCAAGACUAGGCAAGGGAUUCUGAUGAAGAAGAGAAGCCCUGACCGGCUCAUAGUCAUCAGUAAGUGCCAUCAAAAAUUGGAUGAGACGUGUCCGGUUCCUAUAAUCCUCAUAUGCCUUAGCAUUAGUGGGAUCUUUAAGAACAGGCUCACAAGAGGUCAACUGAUCCCAAAUAAUCUCCAUCUGAGCAAGAAAAUCAAAAACUGUUUGGCCACGUUCUUACUUGAGGCUAUGAAGUUCCUUAAGCAGUUGGUACUGAUGAGAGAGAUCAGAAAUAGUGUAACGUUUCACCAAAUGAUCCCAUACCUCUUUAGCAGUUUCAAAAUGCCCAAACUGUAAAUAAAUGCCAGGAGUAGAAGUGUUGCGGAAUCAAGUGAUAAUCUGAUGAUUUUUACUAUCCCAAUCUUCCAAUUUCUUUGCAUAGUCCUUCUCCUUCUCAGCAUCCUCCUUGGAUUUAGAGGCACCAUCUUUGGAUUUGUCAGUCAUAGUUGGCUUAACAGGACAAGCAAUAUCACCAGUCACAUAUCACCAUAAUUUUCGCCCUUUAAGAAAUCCUCGCAUAGCUUCAACCCGAGCCAUUAAGGAUAAUAGGGAUAGGCUAAAAGACAUCUGAUUUUUCUAUAGUAAUAGAAGAAAUAGCAAAGGGAAGAAGAAAACUGUAAAUUCGGGGCAGAAAACAAGAAAACGGAGCGCAGAAUCGAAAAGAGCUCACCAAAAAACCUUAGGGAGGGUCUCAUUUGUCCACCACGUCAGCGCCACGUCAGCAGUCAUAUCAGCGCCACGUUAGCGAGACAAGGACACGUGGCGGCACCUGAGAGGAGGGAGAGAGACACGCUGACAGCCAGGUGGAAGCGCGGGUCAAAGGCGGGUUGGGCCGGGCGUGCGCGGGUCAGGGGCGUGCUUCUGGAAGGAGAAAUAAUGGAGGUGGACAGCGAACUUCCGGCGGUGUGUGACGGCGCGUCCGGUGGCUGAUGGCGGCGUUCUCGGCGGCGUUGGAAAGCUAACAAAGAGAAGAACACGAUGAUGCCGAAGGUGACGAACCAAAGCGUCAGAAACAGAUCGAAAAAUGAGAGCAAAGAGGCACAUGUGGAAUCUGGAAGGAAGAUCAACCUGGUCGUGGCAGCGUCUUUCAGCGGCGCGUGGCGGCACGUCUGGCGGCGGAUGGCGGCGGUUCUGGUUGCGUUGGAAUCAUGGCGACAAGACGAACAAGAUGGUUACGGGGGUGACGAACCAAAGCGUCGAAAAGGGAACGAAAAGAGAGGCCAAAGAACACUGCUGGAAAGGAAAAAAAACAAUGGGGUACGGUUAUGAACUAAUAUUCAUUGAAAAAAAAAAGACCUAAGCUCUUGAUACCAUGUUAGAAACAAGAGACUGAGAGAGUAAUCUGAAAAGUGUAUUAUUGAGUUGUGUUCAGAGGUACAAUAUACAAGGGGUAUUUAUAGGUGCUAAAUGAAUCAAAGUAAUAAAGACAUAGAAUCCUACAAUUAAUGUACAGAUAUACUAUAUAAAUAUAGACGAUACUAAUUGAUCUAAAUUGAUUAUAAUGAUUCUCUAACAUGAUGCUCUAACAAUGCUAACUAUAAUUGAUUUUGUUAUGUUAGACUAAUUUAGUUUGAUUUGAUUAACAAAAAGAUUUGGAUAUAUAGCAUUAUUACGGUGCAACUAGGUAUCCAUCAUAAUUCAUCCUUUAAUCAGUCAUUAUUUAUUGUAAUAAUUAUUUUUAAUUAUAUAUCAAAUCUUCUCUUAUAUAUUCAAAAUUCAAAACUAUAUCUUCUUAAAGUUAGAAUAUUUAAAUUUAAACCAAAUAAAACAAAAAUAACAAACUAAAAUUAAACUCUAACCAAAUUAAAAUUUAAAAUAAUACUAUCAAAAUCAAUUUUUUCGGUUUUAAGAGGGUGGUAUAUAUGAUUUUUUUUGUUCUAAUUAACAAGAGUAAUGAACAUAAUUAUUUUUGAAUGAGUUUUAAAUGUGUCAAGAAAUUAUUUAGUGUGCAAUUUUAUAAUUUUAGAUGUAUUUUUAAUGUAUACAAUAGUGUUGAACAUUAGCCUAACAGUAGUGACGACUACAUUUGCUUUAUGACAAUCUUUUUUUCCUUUGAGUAUAAGAAAAUUUCUAUUUCAUUAGUUUUGUCAGCGUGGCUCAAAAAACUUGUUUAACACCUCGUUCUUUGACUUUACUGCAUGCAGAAGAAGUGCUAUAUAUAUUGAGCUGUUUCCAAAACCAAAGCUGCAAAAGAGAAUCACUUUUUUCUUAUUAUUUGUGUUAAAAAAAUAUUUAUGCUAAGAAAAUAUAAGUACAAAAUUAACGAAUCCAAUGUAUAUCAAAAGUAUUUUGUGUUAUUUUAUUAUUUUUUACGUGUUAAAAGAUUAUUUAUGUAAAAAAAAUAUACACAGAUUUAAACGAAUUUUAAAUGUGUUUUCGAGCGUAUUUUGUAUAUUGUCUUAUUAUUUUAGAUAUGUUAUGAACAUAUAUAAAAUAAUAAAAAAAUAUAAAUAAAAUAAUCACAUGAGACAUACCAGCAACUUUGAAAUGUUAAUGUAAUGUUGAAUAUCAACUUGCCUAGGUGGUACACGUCCUUCAUGAAACUAAGGAAUAAAAAAAUUGAAGUUGUAGAUUUUGUGAAUAAAAAAUGCCAAAUUUCCAUCAAUAAUAAAAAGUAAAAAAAAUUAAAAUAGUAAAUGAAGAAAAAAAAACUAAAAAUGUAAAUAAAUGAUUAUUUUUCUUGUAAAAAAGAAUAAAGAAUCACAAUCAUGAACCACAUAAUAAUGAAAAACUAAAAUAAAAUUACGAACACUAAUAGUCACACAUGGAAAUAAAAUAACAUGAAUGGAGUAAUUUGGCAUCGGAUUCGACGGUCUCAGAACGUUUAGACCAUUAAAUGGUCCCAUAAUAAAAACAUGUUUUUUAAGUUUUUCAAUAACUGUUAAAUAGUCCGUUUCUAAUUUUAAUUACAAAUUAACCCCAUAUAUUUUAUUUAAUUAUAAAAAUUAUUAUUUUCUUAUUUAAUAAUCAAAAACAAAAACAAUAACGAAUUAGAUCUUCCAUUGAUCGUAAUAACUUUUUAGCAAUUCCAAUCGAUUAAAAGUUUAUCUUUGAUCCAUUACAUCGGUCGAGGAUUUUGAAAUCAUAUUUCUUAGAAAAUCAAUUGAUUGGGUUAACAAAACAAUCAAUUAAAUUCCAGGUUUCCCAUAACUCAAUCGAUUUAUAAACCAUUAGUCAUGGCGCGAUUCAAAAUUCAAUCGAUUGGAUUAUCCUACCAAUCGAUUGAAUGCAGAAAAAAACUUAUUUACGUCACAUUUCAAUUGAUUGAAUGAUCAUAUCAAUCGAUUAAACCUUCAUAUAUCAUUUUAAUAUCGGCCUUCAAUCGAUUGAAUUAUAAAAAAUUCGCAUUCUAGUCAUCGUUCAAUCGAUUGGGUAAUAUGAUCAAUCGAUUGAUUUUUGCGAAAAGCAUACUGUCUUGCAACUUUCAAUCGAUUGUUUUGUGGUAACCUGAAGUCCAACCGAUUAAGUUAUGGGAAAUCUGAAAUUCAAUCGAUUGUUUUGUUAAUCCAAAUGAUUGAUUUUCUAAGAAACACGAUUUUAAAAUCCUCCACGGAUGUAAUGAAUCAAAUAUAAACUCUUAAUCGAUUGGAAUUGCCAAAAAGUUAUUACGAUCAAUGAAAGAUCUAAUUCGUUAUUGUUUUUUUUUAUUAUUAAUAAACAUAAUAGAUGAAUAAUAAAAUAAUAAUUUAUAAAAUAAAAAAUAAUUUUUAUGAUUAAAUAAAAUAUAUAGGGUUAAUUUGUAAUUAAAAUAAAAAAUAGACUAUUUAGCAGUUAUUAAAAAUUUUAAAAAACAUAUCUUAUUAUGACACCAUUUAAUGGUCUAAACGUUCUAGGACCAUUGAAUUCUUUGUUGAGUAACUUGAAUGACUAACUUCCUAAAAAAUGUAAAAUAUGAAAAGGUAGUUACUCACCGGUGUUAAGCAUUAAAAUUUUUAAAAUUUAAAUUAAAUAAAAGUGUUAGUGAUUCCUAAAAUAUAGGAAAUAUGAUUAAAUAAAAAUUAAAAAAUAAUAUAAUAAAGUAAUUAGAUUUAAAGGUUGGGUAAAGGAUAAACUUUAAAGAAAAAGUAGUAUUUUCCUAAUAAUAAAUAGUAAUCAAUGUUUUCACUCACAUUACUUCUCUCGUUAUUGCAUUUUUAGAUUUGAGAUUUUUUAUAUUUCAGAAUUAAAUUACAAACUUUCCUCUAAACAGAUAAAUUUUUUUUUCACACAAAAGAUAGCUGACUGAUGAGUGAGAUUUUGUGCCAGUUUAAAAUUUUUCAAAACAAGAAUCACUUCAUCGGUAGCAUAGUCCAAACCGGCAAUAAAAUCCCAUUAAUCAAAGUUUAAUUCAAAUUAAAAUAACCGAGAGUAAUAAAAUUUCGGGUCGUUUUUCCUAGAAACUAGUGACAACAAACACACAAUUUUAGUUGUGAAAAUCAAGGGAUUUUUAAUAGUGAGUCAAACGAUUAAAGGAAUUAAAGAACGAUCAAAAUUGUAAUUAAUAAACUAAUAAAGGAAUUAAAGAACUAUCUAUAUUGUAUGAACAAGUAAAGCUUAAAAAGAUGGAAAGGUGGUUCAAAACAUAAAUGGAAGCCUUGACUUGGGAUGAGUUAUAGAAUUCCUUCCUUGCCAUAACCACAACUAUGAUAAUUAUGAUGGAUUAAUCUCACUUAGUCAACCCUUAACAUUGAAGAGUAAGUCAAGUGAGUAUAAUUGUUAUUAAUCCACAAAUCCUAGCUAACUUACUAAUUACCUUAGUAAAAAACUAGCAUUAGUGGAAACAAUAACAACUAACAACCCAUGAAUUAUCACUAAAUGUCGGACAUUAUGACUCUAGUAUUCCAUAUACUCAUUUUUCCAAGUCAAGGGGUGGAAAUCUAUCCUAUAAUCAAAAUUGACUUUUCAUCAAACACAUGGUGGGCAUAAUCAUAAAACAUGGUGAAAUUCAAAAAUUGAUAAAAAACUAUGAACCACAAAAGAACAAAAUCAACAAUGGCAACUCAAUAAACAUAUAAAAAUCACUAAACAUCAAAUUCAUUAAUCAAAACUCAAAAUUGUAAAAGUAUAUAUGUAUUGAUGAAGGAAAUUAAAAUAUAAGAAAGUGUAGAACAAGUAGUGUAAUAAAAGAGAAAAUUAAGGAAUACUUACAAUGGAAAUAAGCUAGAGACAAAAUCAAAAUUGGAGAUUGCAAAAUUGUAGAUAAACCCUAAUUACAUCCUAAGAAAAAUUGAGAGAAAAAUCUAAACAAAACUACCUAAAACUACCCUAAGUGUGUUAUGUAUGGUAUGAGUUCUUAGGUUGUAUGGUUGCUAGCCCCUCCUUUAUAAGCUUUAAACCCUUCAAAAUUGGGCCAAAAAGCCUCCCAAAUCGCAUGCUUCUCUUCCACCCUUAUCAAGUCAUUCCAACCUAUUACCCCUGAAAUCACUCAUCAAAAUAUCAAGGCAUCGAAUGGAAUGAAAGUGGAAUAAAAUUGAUCAAAUUAAGCACAAAAUAGCAUGUUUCCACAAUUGGACAUAAAUUUUUUUGGACGAAUUUUGAGACGAAAUUGAAAUAAAUUUCGAACAAAUUAGAGACAAAUUUUUUUUUUCAAACAAAAUUGGGACGAAUUUAUUUUGUCCCAAAAAGCCUUGUUGCUAAUUUACAUUUUGUCUGAAAUUUCGUCCGAAAUUUUUUUAGACGAUUUUGUGACAGAUUUCGAAUAAGCAUUUAUCUGCUACAUUUCUAACUAUUAUGAUGUAUUUUAGACGAAUUUUAGACAGAUUAGCCAACAUAAAGAUAAUGUAUUUCAGACAAAUUUCAAACGUAAAAAUAUUUUAUUUUAGACAAAUUUUAAACAAAAAUAUAUUUUAUUUCAGACAAAUUUCUAAAGAAAUUUAGUCAAAUAUAACAAAUUUUUUUCAAACAAAUUUUAGACAAAUCAAAUAUCUCUUUUCAAUUAAAUUUCAGACAAAUUUAAUUUAAAAGAAUUGACGUAUUUGAAACAAAUUUCAUACAAAACAAAAAAUUAUUUUCGCACAAAUUUUCUACAAAUUUAAUAUAAUAUUUCAAACAGUUUUCAAACAAAAUUUGCUAUUUAAUAUAUAAAUAUUUUAGAAAAUAAAUUGUAUUCGAUUUGCUUUCUAUAUUAAGACCAUCAUAAUCAUUUUUUUCAUAUUACAUCAUCAAAAUUAUAAACACAUAAUAAAAUCAUGAAAAAGUUAAUUAACAUAAAAGAGUUAAAAAAAUAUUUAUUAUUAAAAUAUUUUUAUCCAUAAAUAUAAUCAAACUAAAAUAAGAAAAAAAUACUUAAACUAAAACAAAGAAAGCCUUUAAAAAGGUCAAAUAUCAUGAAUAAAAUAAAAUGUACUAAAUCGAAAUUAUAAACACAUAAUAAAGUCAUGAAAAAGUUAAUUACCAUAAAAGAGUUAAAAAAAUAUUUAUUAUUAAAAUACUUUUAUCCAUAAAUGUAAUCAAACUAAAAUAAGAAAAAAUACUUAAACUAAAACAAAAAAGCCUUUAAAAAGGUCAAAUAUCAUGAAUAAAAUAAAAUGUACUAACUAAUUCACCUAAAAAUUUCUUAAUCUAAAUCAGAAAAAACAUAUACUCCUAACUUCAAUCACUUAUGUUAUCAUCCUCAUCAUCACUAGAGCUUGUCCCAAACUCAUCUUCUGCAGGAUCAGACAAAGUUGAAGGAAGUAGGGGAUUCAACUUUUUAUACAAAGCAUGAAUUAUCUUUUUAGUAGAACCAAUUCUUUUUUGUUGAACCUUUAGUUGACAUCCUUGAUCUUUUAACUUAUGCUCGGCAUUAUUCAAAUUAACCUUUUGCUCUGACCACUGGAGAAUACAUAAACCAAAACAAAAUGUUAAAUUCAAAGACAUUGGCAAAUGAUAGAAAAAGAAAAGUGUUAAUAAAGUUGAAAUAAAACUACUAACAGUGUUAAUAGGAUCAAGAGUUUGUAUUGAAUCAACAGCACGAGGGGAAAGAAGCUGAGCUUUCUUCAAUAUGUCUGAAAACUAAAUUAAGGUAAAAAAGUAUACAAGUAUCUAGACUUCACCAUACAGUUCUCGCAAGUUAAGGCUAUUACAUGAAAUAAUCGCUUAAUAGGACCCUGAAAUAAUCGCUUAAUAGGACCCAGCCAAUAACUUCAAUAAAAAUUCAUGUAUAAAACAGAAAAUAAUAUAGCAAGAAGAAUGCUAGCAGCAAAACUAAUCAGAAGAAAUCCAGAUUUCCACCUCAAUAUCAGUACUUGAAUAUAAAUAUAUAUUUGAUUUAAUCCUAAGGCGUUCUGCUCUGAUACCAAUUUGCUCAAGGCUCUGUCACAUGACACAAAACAAAAUAAAUGCAACCAAAUUAGAGAAGGUUAACUGACUCUAAACCCAAAGCACAGUCACAAAUCAAAUAUUAAACUUCAGUGCCCACAUCAGAAAAAUCAAAUAUUAUCCCAAACUACAAUACCAGGAUGCAGGAAAGAAACCCAAUAAAAGCUAACCUCUUCACCAGACACAUAUAAAACUCGAGAUGCUUUGCCUUCACUGCAACCCUUUUCUAUCAUUGUUGCCAUCUUCCAAUCAAAUUGUGACAAUAAAAGAAAGCAUUACUGGUAAGAGUUGUGUAUCCUCUUAAAUUAAAAGAAAUCAAAUUGAACUCCUCCCAAGUCCAAUCAGCAAAAUCUGAAACAAGAUAGAUAAUAAUAACAUUACAACCACAAGAUCGAUUCUGUUACAAGUGAGCCAAUCAUUUCACUUCAUUUGUAUCCUCUUAAUUUAAUUUUUGGCAUUGCGGAUGCGAUCUAGAAAGAACUUAUUGUAUAAAUAUUGGUCUCAUAAAAUUUUAGUACCAGAAAUAAAAUCUCUCACAUAAGGACAUAUUUAUAAAGUUUAACUUUAAUGCACUUUCAGGUUAAGCAAUUUUAGACAUGCAUUCAAUUAGGUAAAGUCACCUAGCAAAAGUAAACUACUUUUUUACAUUGAUUGUAUGAAUGAGAACAGUUGUAAUUGAGCAACUAUGUAAAAAUUUUAGAUUAUUUUACUCGCAUCAAAAUUGGAUUUAUUUUGAGCUUAUUUUUCGUAAAAGCUUACCAUAAUAAGAUGCACCAACUAAGUUAGAUCAUAGCUCUUGACUCAAAUUAAAAAAAUACCUUUUGCACUUGCUCUUCAAGACAGUAGAAGAAGAAGGAUUGAUGUGCCAAUUCCUCUUCCUCUGAUCUGCUUUAAUUACAGACCAAUUUUCUGCACCAGCCUUACCUUAUCUUCCUCCUAAAGAAAUCACAUAAAUGUUUAGCAAUCUUUAUGGAAUAUCCAAUGUGAAUAUGGAAAAAAAACAUAUCAAUAUAUUUAAGAGUUUUCCCCUUGAAUAACAAUAUGAUCAAGUAACUACAAGAUACCAUGAAUGAAUACCAAUUAUAUUAGAUACCAUCAAGAUAAGCACUUGGACGAAUAAAUAAUACUAUGAAAAGUCAAAUGCUUCAACCGCUCCUAUCAAUUUCUAAUACGAAGACAGAAGUGUGUGUAUCUUAUCUAUCUUGUCUAAUGAUGUUGUACUAGUAAUUGAAGUUAAUAUACAAUAAUGUUUUUGUCCUAUUAUAUCACAUGGUGUACAUAUGAUUCUCUGCUACGCGUUAUCCAAUAAAUUUUGGUGAGGCUCACUAAUGCAUUUGAAAGAAAACAAAAUACAAAAUGCUAGAAGAGUGCAAAUUAAACAAGAUUCUUUAAUUCCAGAACAAACUAUUCACCAUUUCUUUAUUUCUAUUUUCUCUAUCCCACAUGCUUUAUAUAUACACAUAGAAACUAUGGUUACAAGCUUAACCCUGGCACUUAAAUUUAACUUUCUAAUUGCUCCAAAAAUUUUAAUAAGUACCAACUAUUUUUCUAUUAUCAAUACUACCUAUUUCAAAGCACAAUUUAUUAGAAAUGAGAAAAAUAUCAUGAAUUCAAUUAUCAGAAGUUAGAAUGCAAAAUGAAGAAACAAUAACACAAUACCCACCAAGUUAACAAUGAAAGUAAGCACCAACCACAAACCUCGUCAUAAUCAAACUCUAAAAAUUUAAAAAACUCAUCAACAAAACAUAACAAACAAAUGAUCAAACAGAGAAUAUGCAUAGUAAUAUUUUUCCAGAAAGAUAUUUGUCCUCUUCUUCAUUUUGGUUAUGAUGCACAACAUACAAGACCAAUCCUACAAUAGCAGAUAAGCCAAGGAGUACCUAGAUCCAGCAAGAGAACCUUCGCUAACCAGGUGCUGAAAAUUGGAAGCUCAUCGUCGGAUCUUUUGGUAGCUGCACAACAGGUCCAUCAAGCCCUAAAAUCAUUUAUUCUCCAGCAAUCAGAAGCAUGCCUCAAGCCCCAAUAGAAUAAAAAAGGGAAAAACUGACCUGGAAAACAAGGGAAGUCAAGGGUUCAUAUUUCAUAGCAUGGUGGACGAAGUGAAGCCGCAGGGACAAUGCGACGCGAACGGAGGUUCAGACGACGUGACGCGACACGAACAGAGACCGAAGGUGCGGGAACUGGCAGACACAGAUGAGCCAACAACGAGAAGAGAGAACGGCGUCGACGACAAUACACGACACACGCACAGAACUUUUGGAGGCGACGAUGCAGUGACGAAGACGAAGCAGAGGACCGAUGAUCGUGGCAGCAACCGUGCGGUGGCGGUGGCUGGUGGUUCUUUUGGGACUGUGAGAUUGACAAAGUAAGGCUGAGUGAGGCUGAGACUUGAGAGUUGAGAGGGAGAUUGAGAGAUGGAGACGGUGAGGUUUGAGAGAUUGCUAAUUUAGCGUUUUUUUUUAUAUAUAAAUCAGCAAAACGAACCGGCUGGUUAUUUAAAACCACCGGUUGACCGAUUUUUUAUCAAAACUGUCCGGUCUAAACCGGUCAUCACCAGUUCUUUUCUUUCUUCGGUCAAACACUUCAACCGGACCGACUACCUGACUGGUUCAUCAGUUUUUUGGUCGAAUCGGUCGGUCCGAUCUGAUUCUUAUAACUAUGGAUUCACAGCCAAGGAACAAAAAAUAAUGGCCCUUAUCAUAAGAACAGAGAAACAGAGGGAAGAAAUAGUUACCUUGUACUAUUCAUG
Molecule: long non-coding RNA, 79295 nt
Filed under: Arachis ipaensis
Lineage: Eukaryota; Viridiplantae; Streptophyta; Magnoliopsida; Fabales; Fabaceae
Description: long non-coding RNA (AIPA_LNC001446)
Rfam family: Plant small nucleolar RNA R71 (bases 41493-41596)
Source: RNAcentral